CAUCCCAGCACGAGCGUAACUGAACUCUAAACUAUCAGGGGUAUCCAUCACACCAAUACUGCGAUGAUACAAAUUUACAACGGCUCCUAGAGCUAAAUCAGGUAGUGUAAACAGGUGACAGGUCCAAAUCUCCGAUUUUCUCCUAAUUCAAUUUCCAAGUCCAACUUGUAUAGUUUAACUAGAUUCAGAAACAUGCUUCAAAUUCAGACUUCAGCCAAUAUGCUACUCAAUGAAUUUAAGCUAGUACAAAAUAUAAACAAUCGGAAACUAUACAUGUUUACUAAUCUCUACUUAGGAGUAAACCCGAUGAAAACCCACCUCAAAUGCUAACUCCUGGCAGCGAAGGAAGUCUCGAACCAAUAAUAAUCCCUGCUGGAUCAACUGAAAUCCUCCAAGUCCAAAAAUCGAGCUAUCUCCAAGCUCUACACAUCGAAAUCCAUCAAUUCUGUCCAAAUACAACAGCAGCAGAGUAAAAUAGGAGUUCGAUCAAGCUAACCUUCACCAAAUUCAGCAAUAUUGGGCUUUGUGGAUUCCUUUCGAAGUCCUGAAUCCAAUGAACCAAGUUUCGUCACAAUUCGACACUCCUACGUCGCGUACGAACCAAAACGCCAACGGUUGAUACUGGAAUUCAGUAAAAAUCAGCACGCGAGCUCGAAGUAGAGAGGUCAGGCCAUAAAUAGAGGAAUGUUAGAGACCCACCUCGACAGCGGCUCUAGCACCGGCGCGACGUCGAGAACGGCGAAAAUCCACCCUCGUCCGGCCUCUUCGUAGCACCACGACGACGAAUAUCCGCUCGAAUGGCACCGCGGCGCGACGUCGACGAUGUUCCAACGCCACCCACGCUCCUCCUUGCUCAUGAUCGGGUCUAGAGAGAGAAAGAGGAGAAGAAGCAUGCAAGAAGUCCUCCUCAGCUUCCCAACACGUACAUAAAGCAAAGGGGAGGGAUGGUGAUACGUACGAGGCAAGAAAAGACAAAUCUGCCCCUCACUUACCCCUGUGUACUGGUACAUGGGCACCUGUACCGGUACAGAUGGCAACCCGAGAGCAGCUGCUCGCCAAUCGGGCGAAGUGUACCGGUACACCUCGCUGUACCGGUACAGAAAGUGUACCGGUACAACCUUGAUGUUGUAUCGGUACAACAAGCAGAAAAUCUGCAAUUCCGCAGAUUCCAAUGCUAACUCCUGCUCUCGCGUCCCCGCUGAGUCCGUUUUGCGUCUAUUUCGCGCCAACGAGACUCGGACUUGUCCCGACACCCUCACGGCGUGUCGACAAGCCUCAAAAGCAGAACACCAGGGAUACUACACCCUCCCCUAUUACAAAAAGUUUCGUCCCCGAAACUUAAGCAUACCUCAGUUCUGGGCAACGAACAGAUAGGGGUAGGAUUCCCUCAUCACCGUCUCAGGCUCCCAAGUCGCCUCCCACUCUUCGUGAUUACUCCACUGCACCUUUACAUACGAAAUGACCCGGUUGCGCAAUUCUUUCGUCUCCCGAGCAAGAAUCCGCACCGGUCGCUCCUCGUAUCUCAGAUCCUCGCCAAUCUCUAAUGGAGUGAAGUCAAUCACGUGAGAAGGAUCAAAAACAUAUCUCCUCAAUGUCAAGACAUGGAAGAUAUCGUGGAUACCGGUCAGUCGGGGAGGUAGAGCAAUCCUAUAAGCAACUGGUUCAACUCGCUCCAAUACCUCAAAAGGGCGAACGAAACGUGGACUGAGCUUUCCACGCACUCCGAAUCUGCAAAUCCCUCUAGACGGCGAGACUUUGAGGAAAACAUGAUCUCCAACCUGGAACUCUAAGUCUCAUCUCCUGGUAUCGGCGUAGCUCCUCUGGCGGCUCUGGGCUGUCAAAAGGUGUCGUCGAACAACUCUCACCUUUUCCUCAGCCUCUAGCAAAAUCUCAGGCCCAAGCGUCUUCCUUUCAUCCACAUCACUCCAACACAAAGGGGAUCGACAUCUGCGUCCAUACAACGCCUCAAACGGAGCCAUCUGGAUGCUCGCUUGAUAGCUGUUGUUGUACGCAAACUCAGCCAGUCUCAAAUGUCGAUACCACCCUCCUCCAAAGUUCAGGACGCAUGCUCUCAGCUGUGCUGAUGCGAUGGAUGGUGCUGGUGAUGCUGCUCGAGGACAAGCUGAUCUCAUAUGCCCGGGCUGACUGCAAUGUAACACCUGCCCUCUCUCUGCUCGCACUGCCGGGGCCAGUGGGGUCCCCCGCGGAUCACACACUGCGGUGUCUUCGGUGAUUGCCCCUGCUGACGGGGUCCCCCAGAACGCUGACGCCCCGAAGACCCACGACCCUAAGAGCGCGAUCGUGGUGGUCUCGGCGGAUGCCUACCGCUCGACGGUCCUGCAUCAUCUGGAAAGGGACGCUUCUGGUCCCGACUCUGCCCCACUGCCUGAGUCCUCUCCUGCAGCGACACCUCACCUCUCUCUACCCAUAAGGCCUGCUCUAUGGACGCAUCCAGGGUCCUCAACCUCUGAGCCCGCACCAACCUGAAGACGUCGGGUCUCAGCCCCUGCUCAAACAGAUAAACCCUGUGAGCCUCGUCCCUGGCCACAAACAGCACAUAAUUCAGGAGUCGAGUAAACUCCCGAAUGUACUCCUGCACUGGCCGAUCCCCCUGCUGAAUCCUCUUCAAAUCCUCCUCGAGCUUCUGUUUCACACUGUUGGGAAAAUAUAUCCCAAACAGCAUUCUACAGAACUCAUCCCAUCUCAGCUGCAACGCUACCAGUCCCUGAUCUCGCCUCACUCUCCUCCACCAGGUGUGUGCAUCACCUGCCAAGCAAUGGACUCCCAAAGAUACCUGCUCCCCCUCAGGAAUAAACAGAUUCUCAAAUAGCUUCUCCAUUGCACUGACCCAUCCCUCAACAACUCAGGCCUCAGUGCCACUGCCAUCGAAUGUCGGCGGAUCAAAACGGCGAAAACGAGCCAGCCUCUCGGUCAUCCACUACUGCUCGGCCUAGGUCAACUGUCCUGGCCCUCUAGAAGGCGCAACCGGCGCUGCAGGAAUAUCCACUGGCGGCGGUACGGCUGCGGCUGGUGCGGCGGCUGAAGUAGUCGGAGGUGGACCAGCCGGCUCUGGUGCUCUCGGUACUGUACUCGGUGGCGGAGCUACCCUCUCGCACAACCUCUCCAAUAACUCUCCAAUCACUCUCUCCACUCUAGGAGGAGUUAGAACAAUGAAUCAUUGACUUUCGCGAUAAAUCACGCCUCUCGCGCCUUGCUUUCCUAAGGUUUGCCAACUUAGGGUUCCUAUGUCCCAACGACCUGCAGCUAAGCUCUGAUACCAACUUAAUCUGUCACGCUCCGGAUUACACGUUCCCUGGGCACGCCGACAAAUUCGCCGUAUACAAAGAAAUUUUCCCUAUAUACGAAGCGAUAGCUGUACCUGUAAAACAUACAAUACUACAAACAGUAGUAUAGAGCUGCCAGAAUAACCAGUAACUAAAAAUAAACUGAGUUUCAUAUACAUACGUCAAAUCCAAGAUACAAACUACUCGCACUGGUGAGUUAAACGUCUGUAUGUACAUGAACUCCAACCAGAAACAACUACCUGCUGUAGGGGCACCUCUAGCUCGGCUCGUCUGGUAGGACUCUAACUCGCGAUGCCCUUACCUCGAUCCUGAUCCGCGGAAGGCGCAGCAGCCGAAACCUGUGGCUCUGCAAAACAGGGGUAACAACUGGGCGUGAGAACUACUGUAAAAACAAAUAGUCCUUAGUGGGUGCCGCCCUUAACAUCAUCGGUCCAUCCAUUAAGUCUACAGAAGGGAACAAAGUGGAAUAAAAUCUACAGCUACAAGUUAUUACACUAUUAUGCUCUAAACUAACCUACUGUAGUGAUGUCAAUCCCGACCCAAUCUCUUUAGGGACUGUAAACAUAUCAGUCCCAGGGACUGUGAAUACACCCGUCCCUGCCCCGUUGCGACUAUCCAGCUACCCCCACACUAACCAGUUCGUGGAGAGCAAGUCCAACCGGCAUGAACGACACCAACGUGAAAGCACAGCACCCGUCUCCGGAGUGGCACUCGUGGGAGCUACCCAACCGAGUAUGCAGCGUAUCUCUAUCGAGCUAAAUCCGGAUCUCACAAGCCUAAGUCAAGUAACCGACUCUAACUGGUCUAAUAACCAACAGGUCAUGUGCCCUCGGCACAAUCCGACGCCAAAACGGUGAUAUGGGUCUGCCGUCAACCACUACGGCACCCAACAGUCCGGAACAAUCUGAACGCUACUGUAAAACUACGCUAGGCAUCCCAGCACGAGCAUAACUGAACUCUAAACUACCAGGGGUAUCCAUCACACCAAUACUACGAUGAUACAAAUUUACAACGGCUCCUAAAGGUAAAUCAGGUAGUGUAAACAGGUGACAGGUCCAAAUCGCCGGCUUUCUCCUAAUUCAAUUUUCAAGUCCAAAUUGUAUAGUUUAACUAGAUUCAGAAACAUGCUUCAAAUUCAGACUUCAGCCAAUAUGCUACUAAAUGAAUUUAAGCUAGUACAAAGUAUAAACAAUCGGAAACUAUACAUGUUUACUAAUCUCUACUUAGGAGUAAACCCGAUGAAAACCCACCUCAAAUGCUAACUCCUGGCAGCGAAGGAAGUCUCGAACCAAUAAUAAUCCCUGCUGGAUCAACUGAAAUCCUCCAAGUCCAAAAAUCGAGCUAUCUCCAAGCUCUACACAUCGAAAUCCAUCAAUUCUGUCCAAAUACAACAGCAGCAGAGUAAAAUAGGAGUUCGAUCAAGCUAACCUUCACCAAAUUCAGCAAUAUUGGGCUUUGUGGAUUCCUUUCGAAGUCCUGAAUCCAAUGAACCAAGUUUCGUCACAAUUCGACACUCCUACGUCGCGUACGAACCAAAACGCCAACGGUUGAUACUGGAAUUCAGUAAAAAUCAGCACGCGAGCUCGAAGUAGAGAGGUCAGGCCAUAAAUAGAGGAAUGUUAGAGACCCACCUCGACAGCGGCUCUAGCACCGGCGCGACGUCGAGAACGGCGAAAAUCCACCCUCGUCCGGCCUCUUCGUAGCACCACGACGACGAAUAUCCGCUCGAAUGGCACCGCGGCGCGACGUCGACGAUGUUCCAACGCCACCCACGCUCCUCCUUGCUCAUGAUCGGGUCUAGAGAGAGAAAGAGGAGAAGAAGCAUGCAAGAAGUCCUCCUCAGCUUCCCAACACGUACAUAAAGCAAAGAUGAGGGAUGGUGAUACGUACGAGGCAAGAAAAGACAAAUCUGCCCCUCACCUACCCCAGUGUACCGGUACACGAGCACCUGUACCGGUACAGAUGGCAACCCGAGAGCAGCUGUUCGCCAAUCGUGCGAAGUGUACCGGUACACCUCCGAUGCUGUACCGUACAGAAGGUGUACCGGUACAACCCUAAUGUUGUACCGGUACAACAAGCAGAAAAUCUGCAAUUUCAUAGAUUCCAAUGCUAACUCCUGCUCUCGCGUCCCCGCUGAGUCCGUUUUGCGUCUAUUUCGCGCCAACGAGACUCGGACUUGUCCCGACACCCUCACGGCGUGUCGACAAGCCUCAAAAGGCUGAACACCAGGGAUACUACACCCACCCCCACUACAAAAAGUUUCAACCUCGAAACUUAAGCGUACCUCAGCUUAGGGUAUCAAAUAGAUAGGGAUAGGACUCCCUCAUCACCGUCUCCGGCUCCCAAGUCUCCUCCCGCUCCUUGUGAUUACUCCACUACACCUUUACAUAUGGAAUGAUCCGAUUGUGCAAUUCUUUCGUCUCCCAAGCAAGAAUCCGCAACGGUCACUUCUCGUAUCUCAGAUCCUCGUCAAUCUCUAGUGGAGUGAAGUCGAUCACGUGAGAAGGAUCGAACACAUAACUCCUCAAUACCGAGAUGUGGAAAACAUCAUGGAUNCCUGCUCUCGCGUCCCCGCUGAGUCCGUUUUGCGUCUAUUUCGCGCCAACGAGACUCGGACUUGUCCCGACACCCUCACGGCGUGUCGACAAGCCUCAAAAGGUGCGGCGAGACAUCGAGAGUGGACGUGACGGCGAUUUUAGCGUGGACGCUGAGGGUGCACUUCUGUUUCAAAACCGUUGGUGCGUACCGGAAACGUGGAAGUCCGAAAGCUAAUUUUGCAAGAAGCGCAUCGGACUCUCUAUAGUGUUCACCCGGGCGGCACCAAGAUGUACCAUGAUUUGAAAAUGCAUUAUUGGUGGCCCGAAAUGAAAACCGAUAUCGGACGCUAUGUGGCGCAAUGCCUUACAUGUCAACAAGUCAAGGCGGAGCGCCGAUUUCCAGCAGGAAAGCUCCAAAACUUGCCUAUCCCUGUUUGGAAAUGGGAGGACAUAUCUAUGGACUUCGUGGUCGGAUUACCCCGGUCGGUGGGAGGCCACGAUGCUAUCUGGGUAGUUGUGGAUCGUUUAACCAAGUCGGCACAUUUCAUACCGAUCCGCACUACAUGGUAAGGUGAUAAGUUAGCGCAGGUGUACCUCGACGAGGUGGUGAGGUUGCACAGGGUUCCGAAGUCGAUCGUGUCGGAUCGAGACCCCCGAUUUACCUCGCACUUUUGAAAACGCCUGCAAGAAGCGCUCGACACACGCCUCGAUUUCAGCACCGCAUUCUAUCCUCAAACUGAUAGGCAAUCGGAGAGAACCAUUCAGAUCUUGGAGGAUAUGCUGCGGGCGUGUGUGAUCGACUAUAAAGGAAGUUGGCUCGAGUACUUACCGAAGGCCGAGUUCGCCUACAACAACAGUUAUCAAGCAAGUAUAGAGAUGGCACCAUUUGAGGCUCUCUACGGGCGGAAGUGUCGGUCUCCUAUACAUUGGAGUGAUGUGGGCGAGUGUGCGGCAUUGGGUCCCGACGUUUUGCGGGAGGCGGAGAAGAAAGUCCGCCUUGCCCGUCAGAGAUUGCUUACGGCGCAGUCAAGACAAAAGAGCUAUGCAAAAAAGCACCGUCGAGAUUUAGAAUUGGCAGUGGGUGACCGCGUCUUCUUGAAGGUUUCACCCAUGAAGGGUGUGAAGCGGUUUGGAGUUCGAGGAAAACUGAGUCCUCGUUAUAUUGGACCGUAUAAAGUGUUGGAACGUGUUGGAGCAGUAGCAUAUCAGCUUGCAUUACCGCCGAAGCUCGCGGAGGUUCAUAAUGUAUUCCACGUUUCUAACCUUCGCAAGUAUGUUCACGAUCCCGAGCAUGUGUUGUCAUAUGAACCACCGGAAUUGCAAGAAGAUAUGAGCUAUGAAGAGUUUCCGGUGAUGAUUAUUGCUCGAGAAGUGCGAAAAUUGAGAAAUUGCGAAAUCCCCUACGUCAAAGUUCGGUCUACUAGUCACAACAAUCGUGAAGCCACGUGGGAACUUGAGGAUGCAAUGAAAGUGCAACAACCUCAUCUCUUCGAAGAAUUGAGUUGGGUAUGAGUUUUGUUAAGUUGAGUAGUUUCGAGGACGAAACUCCUUUUAAGGAGAGGAGGAUGUAAGGAAGUGAAUUCUCGAAAUGCGAGAGUUGGACUUCGUUUAAAAUUGACCAAAGGUUGGUUGGGUAUGCCUCGGGGUGGCCUAAGAUGUCAACAAUGCAAAAAGUGCAUUGUGGUUGGUCUCGAGAGCAAGUUGUGCGAAUCUGCACAAAUUGCAAAUUUUGCUGUCGGGGACCGGUCCUUGGUGGGAGGGACCGGUCCCCGUAAGCAGAGAGUGCGGCAGAGAAGCUCUGCGCGCAAAUGUUGCUCUCGGGGACCGGUCCCUCUGGGGUGAGAUCGGUCCCCGUACGCGUGUAUGGCAGAGCAGAAGGCUUUGCGCGUGAAUGUGCUCUCCGGGACCGGUCCCUGGCGGGAGGGACCGGACCCUCGGGGAUCGGUCCCUGGCGGGGGGACCGGACCCCGUAAGCAUGGAAAGGGCUGAUGGCCAGCUCUGCACACAGUGCGCUCUCGAGGACCGGUCCUCGCAUGGAGGGACCGGUCCCCGCACCCGAAAACUGCUGAGUCUGGGCAGUGCAUAGAUAGAAAAGUGGGUGGGGUUUUUGGCUAUUGUUGCAUGAGAGGGGUUAAGUAAGCAUUUCCCCUUUCUUUUUCUCUCAUUUCCCUCCAACACACAUACACACUCACAUUCUCUCUCUCUCUCUAGAAGGAGAAGGAGAAGGAGAAGGAGAAGAAGGAGAAGAAGACCAAGGAGAGAAUCUCCAUUGCCAUUUCUUCCUUUGCUUGGGACAAAAGCUUGGUAGAGGUAAGCUUUUGAGCUCUCCCAUGGUGAAAUGCUAAGGAUGAGUUUAUAAACCCUAGAAAUGGAAUUUAUUGGAACUCCAGAUGUAGUUGAGCUCAUUUAUUGUAAGGUUGAAGGCUUGUAUGCCAUAUGUUGCAAUAAUGGGAUUUUAGGGCAUCCAAAAGAGGGGUUUUGUUUGUGAUGGGCUUUGAUGUCAAUUGAGCAUGUCUAAACCUAAUUGUUAGGUACUUUGACGUGUUGGCGAAGUCAGUUCGACAAUUCGUCGAGGCUACGAAGAAAUAUUGAUGAAAAACCCAUUUUUGGUUUUGUUUUCGCCUGGAACGCCGAGGAAGCAUCUAAAAAUCACGAAAUCGGAACCCUAGCCUCUUGGUAGCAUAAGAAGGUGGGGAGUGUCCAUCCCGAAGCAACCGAAUUUUCUUUUAUGUCUAAGUUCUAUAUGUUGACAAUAUUCAUAUAUUGACAUUGUACAUUAUAGGAUUAGUAGAUGAUUACACUCCAUUUCCUUGCUUGUUUCCUAUGUAGUGUAGCAUUGAGGGCUUGACACUUGAACUUAGGUUGCAUAAGGAUUGGGUCUUGUGACAUGAAUCCUAUAGUGACAAGAAUAAUGAUGAACUCGGACAUGUAAAUGGCCUAGAUGAGUGGAAUUGGAUUAGUGUAGUAGAAAUACUAAACAUAAACGAGUGGCAUAUCAACUAGUAGAAAACAUUUACUACAAUGAUUGAACGAGUGGCAUUGAAUCUAGUAGUGUAGUAAAACAUGACAUGAUUCUAGGAAUAGUAGAAUUCCCAGCAGUUGAAUUAUGCAUUAUGAACUGUGCAGCAGAGGCACUAUGACCCUGGUAGAUAGGGUAUCCUCUUGCGAUGAUUGGAUUAUACUCACUAGUCUGUUUUCGCUUGUCGGUGGUCGUUCCACAGAAGCAGUUGUUUCCGGAGUUCUUCACGAUAGGGGCAGACAUAGUUGUCCCGUAGACGGUCUCGGUGUGCGAGUGCAAAUUCUCCUCACCUAUGAGAUUGAGAGUGAGUCGAGGGCUUAACCUUCGGGUUAGCCAAGUAGAUUGGGUAAUGAACAUGAAUGGCAUAGUAGACUUGCAUUCAUACCUUAAGUAGACAUAGUGUAUGUUAAUAGAUUGCAUAACUAUGUUGCACAUAUGCUCAUAACAUUGUACUAGCAUGAUAGUAGACUUAUUGCAUGAUGAUUACAUUACUUAUCAUUGAAGGCAUGGUAGGAUAUAGUUGUUGUUCCAUUUCUACCUACCUAUCUAUCUAUCUAUCUGCUUAUACCUGCUUAGACCUAAUGGGAAGAUCGGCAGAGUCGGCGGCCGAACCCACUGGAAACUAUAUUUAUAUAGUUCUCACCCCACUUUGUUGCAGGGCCGAGCACGAGUUCGCCGAGCGAGGACCGCGACAAGGGCAUAGCGCCCUAGGUAGUUAGUAGCCUCCCAUAUGCAUUUAGAGUACCCUCGUGUACUAGACGAUGAUGAUGUAUAUUUUGGAUAGAUGUUGGAGAGCUACUUAUGUAUUGGAGAUGAACUUGUAGUACAUUUUGGGAGAUAUAAAUGUAAUUAAAAGUUGAAUGGUUAAAAUAGCUAGAAUAUCUCUCUUUAUUCACUUGUUGUAUACUUGUGGUUCUUGCUCUUACUUGUUAGCACUUGUGGUGCUCCUUGUUGAUCGUGUAUGUAAUGAAUUUCUUUUCCUGGGCAAAUUCUUAUACAUGAUCUUGUUGCUUAGCCUUCGGUGAACAGGGGAGGUGUUGUCCGUUCGGCGUCUGCUCGACGCCCCCGAACCGGACCAAAUUGGUAGCGGUGUCGGGGCGUGACAGAUGAGUUGGUAUCGAGCAAGUUAAGAGCAAGUAAAGAGAGAGUCUAGGACAGACCUAGGAGAACAUAGGUUGGCAACUCUAAGGCUAGGGGUGCGUGAGCGAGACGUGAACCUAAGCCGGGUGGCAGAAGUUGAUUUGAUUGGGUCGAUGUUGUAGCAUGUCUCUAGUGGUUAAUAGAGACGAAUUCAGGUGAUAUUAGUUCUUGACUUGAAGUGAUUGUGUUGGCGGCCGACAACACGAUGCUAAGAGUUUGGAACGAGUACACUUGGGUGUUUCCGUCUAACUUGUGGUGUCGAGUCGUUUGUCUCGUGACUGCGACGAGGUUACCGGUUAGGGUGACUAACCAAAUUGUUGCAUUUCAGGAGCUAAUGUCUCCAAGACGCUACACGCAUAGAUUCGUUCCGGCACCGUCUCCUGAGGUGCCCGAGCAAGCUGGGUCUAGCGAGAUGCAGGAGUUGCGGGCGCAAAUGACUACACUAGCCGGUGUGGUGCAGCGGCAGGAGAGUCGGUUCGAGCAGCUCCAGGGGCUUAUGGAGCGGCACAUAGCGGCAGCGGCUACAACGGCGACUGAAGGCCGUCACCCGCCCGCGCUCUCGGCUCGUGCGCCUACGGCGGCUGAGGGUGAGGGCAUUGCGGCAGUUUUGGUGGCGGCGCGUCCCCCGCCGGCGAGUGUUCCUCCGGCGGCGUCGGGUUCUACGACACUCGAUGCGGCGACCGAGGGAGUGAAGAGGGAGCGCGCACUUGCGGCCCUCGUAUUGUUCCGCAAGUUCGACCCACCGGUCUUCGACGAGGAGAAGGUCGAGCCAUGGAUGGUCGAGUCAUGGAAAGUUAAGAUAUUUUCUUUCUUAUUAUCUUAAACUGGGCCUGACUGUCAAAUUUAAGCGCAAACGGACAUUCAGAAGGGUUCCGGCAAAAAAUAUCAAAUUUUGAGCUGCUAAACUAAAAUUAAGCUAUAUAUAUUGAGGGGCUCUCUUCUUCCUCCUCAACCGAGCACCACACCAACACACACACGUAUGGAGAGGGAGAGAGAAAUCUUCCCUUUCUCUCUCUAGAUAUCUCCCUCAUCUCUCUAGAUCUCUCUCUCAAAUUCGCGGCGUUGGUGGAAAGCAAGCUUGGGAACGCGUUGGAGGCGUCGGUUCGGAUCCUCGUGCGACCGUUUGAGCAGCGUGCUUUCGACUAGGCAAUUGCAAUUUGGUAAGAGUUUAGGAUUUGGUUAAAUCCUUCCUAAAUGGUGUUCUAGUAGCCUCUAAUGUGAUGUUAGCAUGUUUUCUCCAUUUAAUUUGGGUUAUUUGGAGUGUAUGUACAUGCUAGGGUUAGAAUGUGGAUUUUGGGGUUUUGUAGCAAAUGAGGGUUCUGAUCUCAUUUAACCCCGUAUUUCUCUAAUUGAAGGUUAGAUAAGGACUCUUGAUGACUCAAAGUUGAGAAUCGACGUGUGUUCGGUGAUCGUUUGCGAGUGCGAGCCGAACCAGACAUGUGUGCCGCAGGAGGCCGAUUGCAAGUACUACAAGCAAUUGGAGAGCAAUAUUAGGUGGGUUGUGCUCAUUGAAGCGAUUAGGUUGCUUCCAUGCCAAAGUGUAGUGUGUUUUGUUGUUGAUGCAUGUAAUGGAAGUUAAUUGCAAGGCAAAUGAAUGCAUGAGUAGAUGCUAAAUAAAUGCAUGAGUAAAUGCUAAAGAAAUGCAUAAGAUAAUUGCUAAUGAAUGCAUAUGAUAAAUAACAAUGAAUGCAUAAGUUGUAUGCUAAUAAUGAAUGCAUGAGGUAAAUGUUAAGUUGUAUAAUGACUACCAUUGGACGAUAAGGUAUAUGCAUGUUGACAUAUUGUAGCAUGUGCUAGAUACAUAUGAAUGUGAAUGCAUGAUAGAGAUGCUGGUUAUGAAUGUGAAUGCAUAAUUGAGAUGCUAAUAAAGAAUGCAUAAGCUAUAUGCUAAACGAAUGUAUAAUCUAGAUGCUAAAAUAUGCAUGUGAGAAAUGUUAAAAAAUAUGUGGCAUAUAUGCUAAAAGAAUGUAUGAUUGAAAUAGAUGCUAAUGAAAAAUGUAUAAGGUAUGUGCGAAGUGAAUGCAUGAUGUAUGCUAAGUGAAUGCAUAGAAUAUAUGCUAAGUGAAUGUAUAAGAUUAAGACGCUAAUUAUGAAUGCAUAGGCAUGUACGUGAAAUGCUAAAGAAUUUAUGCAUGAUUCCAAUUGUGAGAUUAUGCUAGAAUGACAUGAAAGUUGAACUUGAGUCGAUGAACUCUAAGUAUAGUAAAGAACUCAACAAGUGUGGCAUGUCAAGUAUGAUUCCUAGGUAUGGACAGCUAGAAAAACAAGAACACUAGUGGCAUUCAAUCUAGUGUUAUGGAACAUAGGUGAAUUAUGAGUGGCAUUAAACCUAAUGUAUUAAACUUAGGUUGAGAAUUGAACCUAGAGUCAGGUGAACCUAGGUUAAGAGAUGAGUGACAUUGAACCUAGAGUCAAGUGGACCUAGAAGGAAAAUGACAUUGGACCUAAUGUAAUAAACUUAGAUUGAGUAAUGGCUUGGACCUAGAUAGAUCGACAUUAUAGGGUGAGACCAACCCUUGAGCUAUGUAAAGUGGAUUCCGGAAUCCCAGGACUUGAGGCUCGACAGUUCUUGGCCGCGGGUUCGUGUGGCAUAUUCCCCUCCCACCGAAAGAACUUCGAGGAUAGUGGAUAUGGAAGAUUCUUGGCCGCGGGUGCUUGUGGCAUAUUCCCCUCCCACAGAAAGAAUCUUGGAUCGCUAGGGUACGUGUGGCAUAUUCCCCUCCCUAUCGGGGGUCUUGGGCCGUGGGUGCGUGUGUCAUAUUCCCCUCCCACCGGGAAGAUCCCUGACCCCGGGUGUGCGCUACUCUGAGCGACCCGUUGGGCGAUGUGGUUUGUGGAUUGGUGGCUCAGGUGCAUGUGAUAAUUCUUUCACCUCGAGCCUGACAGAGCGCGGAUUAUCCGCAGCUGAUUGACUCAAGACCAAGUCGAGUGGUAUAGUUGGCUAAGGUAAAGUAACCUUAGUAAAGAAUAAAGAAUAAAGAGCAGAGAACGGUUAAUGCUAAAAUAUAGCAAUAAUAAAGAAUAGCUAAGAAACAAGAACGGCUAGUAAUAAGAAAUGGUUAGCGUUAGAGAAUGGCUAGCGAUAAAGAAUGGCUAGUAAUCAAGAACGAAUAAUAAUAAAGAAUGACAAAUGGUAAAGAAUAGAAUUAAGUGAACUACUUGCAUGAUUCGCAUAUUGCAUAUUGUGAGGCAUGAACAUGAUAAUUGUUAGUUGCAUAAAUUAUAUAUAUCUGUGGAUAUUUAUUGGACUAACAUGUUUGCAGUGUCUCCUUUGGACCUGGUAGGUCGAGCUCUUCCCUUGGGUGGCUAUACCCACUGGAAACUAUGGACAAUAGUUCUCACCCCCGUGUUGUUUUUGGGGGUUACAGGUUCACACGCGAGCGGCGCGGCGGUGCGAGGAAAUGACGUAGCUCCGUAGUUAGCGCCCUACCACCGAGACCAGAGAUAGCAGUACCCUGAGUCGGUUACUUAGGGAUGUAAAAAAAAUGAAAAGAACCAAGUUGUAAUAAUGAUGUUAAAUCUGAUUGUAUUUGGAAGCUAAAAAGAAUUAAAGAUGUAAUAUGUAAAUGUAUGUGAGUUGCACGCUUGUAAUAGCAUAGUGGUUAUGUUUUUGAUACCUUCCUUAUGCAAUCUUUGUUGUAUGCUGUUCCUGGUUGGAACCUCGCGCAUUGUAUGAUUGUGACGCCUUAGACGUACAGGGGAGACUCUGUCCGCGGUAUAGGAAAAAUCUUGUCCGUUCGACGGUCUGUUGGCGUGCCCGAAUCGGACCAAAUAGGCGGGCUCAGGGCGUGACAACACUAGUAGGUGCUCCGUCAACGACUACACCUCCGUCAGCAAUAAUUUUGGAAAUACAGAUGUCGAGUGUGGAGACGUCAAGGGUAGGCGGAUAGUUGUCAGCAACAGAGAAUUAGGGGAAUGGAGCGAGGUUGGUAGACUUCCGUAGAUUCGAUCCAACGAGAUUUCUAGGUCAGAGUACCGAGUCAUGGAUAUUUGAGGCUUGGUGGGAACCAUGAAGAAACUUUUUGAGGAUCUCUUUAAUCCUAAGAGUGACCAAGUAUAUUUGGCAGUUCACUGCUUGGAAGGUGACGCACAUACAUGGUGGCUGAGGAUCAAGUCAACCUGAUCGCAGAGUGCACUGCAGAUGACAUGGACCGAGUUUCAGGUGUUGCUAUUUGGGGCCUAUUUCGCAAAUAGUGUAAAGCAAAAAUUCAAAGAUGAUUUAAAGAACCUGUAACAAGAUGAUAGGAUGGUGAAGAAGUAUGCCAGAGAAUUCAACCGUCUGCUAAACUAUGUGCGGUUCGAUAUGAGAGACGAGGCACACAAGACAUAUCUAUUUGAGCGAGGGUUGCAGCUGGAGAUUUACCAUUUGGUUCAGGCGUAGCAUUUAUAGGCUCUAGGCUAGGUGACUAAGAAGACUCUAUGGGUGGAAAGAGGUACCACCAUUAUAAGGGAGCGAACUGUUAUAUUGGAGCAAGGCCAGGAUAGGAAGUGCCUAGCACCGGACGAGGGGGAACAGGCUAGUGUGAGGAGAUCGCCAAGGAUCCCAAGAUCUCACUCUCAGGAUCGUUGGCCUUUCGUGAGACAGAGGUUAGUGCAUCCCGACAGCAGCGGCGACAGCAACGGGAUAGAUGUGUUGUCUAUGAAAGGUUGCACUAGCCACACACUUGUGCUCAGCAAGAGGGGUAUUGUUACUGCUGCGGACAGGCGGGGCAUUUGCGGCCAUCAUGUCCCAGAGAGGCUUUACUAGCACCAUUAACAGCAUAAGCUUUUUCUUUCCCACAACAGAUGAUAGGGUGUCACACCCUGCGAUCGCCAAUUUGGUCUGUUCAGGCACGCACACAGACCGCCGAACGGAUUAAGUUUCCCCUGUCUGCCCAAGGCUCAAUAACAUCAUGUACAUUGAGUUUUGCCCAGGAAAAAACAAUUAACAUACAUGACUUGCACGAGAGCAAAUAUACAAGAGUAAGAGAGAAGAUUAACUUAGCUUCUUUUCUUUUUGAGAGAUAGGUAGCACGCUACCCGCUUCGUUUAUUUCAUUUAGAAAUAAACUUAGCUGGAAAUGUGAAUAAACUAGGAUUCGAACUUGGGUCUCGGGUACCACCCACCAAGCCCUUUGCCACUUGCUCUAGGAACGGUCGAAAAGAUUGACUUAGGUAUUACAACCAUUCAUUUGAACAUUCACUUACGACUCACCAAAACAUAACCAUUUGGUUCAUAGUACAUAUACAUGUUUGUUGUCUUUCUCUUCAAAAUACAAAAUGUCUCUCACAUAUAUAUACAUGGUAUUCUAAUGCACGGGGUCCACUACCUAGGGCACUAUUUCUUUGCCGCGAUCCUCGACCGCUCCGCUAGCACUAGGAUCUGCAAAAUAAUGGGGUGAGAACUAAAAAAAAUUUUCAGUGGGUUCGCUCGCCGACCCCGUCGACUUUCCUACUAGGUCUAAGUAGGCAUAGGUAGAGAAAGAAAGUAAUAAUGAUAAGUACUAACAACUAAACCACUAUGCCUCAACAAUAUGAUAAAAUGAGUUGGGACGUCACUAUGCUCAUGGUGUAUGUCAUUUUUGUCUUUAUAAACCAAUUAUACCGGCUAACCUGAAAGUUGAGCCCAACUCACAACUGAAUCCCACAGAUGAGGAGAUGCUCGCUACAACCCAUCGGGGACCUAGGUAGCUACGUCACCCUUACUUCAAGCAAAAAACGAAAAUCUCGUCCUAAAAAAUCGCGGUGCGCUGUGUUAACACGCGGUCGAAAUGAACUUUACCUCAUAGGCCGCGUGAGGGAGAAUCCAUGAGGGAACCGGCUCCCGUGGACUCUCUCUCCCUCAUUAUAUUUAUAUAUAUAUAAUCAUUUAUUUUUAUAUAAAUAUGUUACUAUAUAAUAUUAUUUAUAAAUAUAUAGUAAUUUAUUUUAUAGUACUAAAUAUAAUAUAUUAUUAUGUAUUAAUAUUACAUACUUAUUGUAUAUAAUAUAUAUUUUAAUAUAUUUAUUUAUAAAAAAUUAUAAUAAUAAUAUAUAUAGUAUAAUAAUUAUUAUAUAUUAAUUAAUAAUAUGUAAUAUAUAUAUUUAUUUUGUCUUUUUCUUUCUUUUAAUUAAACAACCAUAAAGAAAAAACUAUUUUCUUUUUCUACAAACCAAAUAUUAUAAAACGUAAAAAAAAAAAAUUUCCGAAAUUUUUUUUACUGAAAUUUUGUUUUAAUAAUUUUACGUAAAACCAAACACACCCUUACCAAAAGUACUAAUAUCACACAGAAACACGGUAGGCAUGCAUGGGCAUGCAUAAUCACUUUUUCCACAUAAAGAAAUCGAGAGAGAGAGAGAGACAGAUCUUCCUAUUAAUGACCUUGAUUACUCCAUAAACUUCAAGUUAUUCACCACACACAACUUAAAUAGGAGAAAAGUGAGGAGAAGUAAAACCUAAGAUCUAAUUACCGGACUCAUUAUCUCGCCCUACUACUAGGACUACCUCUUAUGAAAAAGGUUAAUUAUAAUAAGAAAACAUUGAAACCCAACUUGAUUUCCAUUAAUUUCACUCCAAAAUAAACCUCAAAUUAAUUAAGACGUCAUAGACAAAUAUAUAUAUCCUCAUAUGCUCCUAGCCAUCAUCUCCUGGUACCUCCUAUAUGAUUCCUGCUUCUCCAGCCUAAACUUCUCAUGGCACAUUUCAAUGAACUUCUCCGCAAGCCGGUCGAUCUCAUUUAACUCUUCGACAUCCGCCGUCCCGCUAUCGCCGCUAUUUUUUUCCUCUAGCCAUCGGAGGUAUCCAGAGAUCGGUUCAUCGCCGCAUUCCAACUCGGUGGAUAUUAUCGAAGUCCAUGCUGAGUCAUAGUACGAGUGACUCGCGUCAAACUCCUCCGCGAAAGUGUUCUCGCACAUCGGUAUCACAUGCGACGAUGCACGGUUGAAUUGCUUCUUGAUGAAGCUAGAAAGCAGCUUCUUUUUGCUCCUGAUCUUCUUCCUGAAGAUGCAAGCGGUGGCGGCGGCGGCGGCGGCGGCGGCGGCGGCGGAGCGUCUCUUCUUUCGUACAAGGAAGUCAAGUGCCGUGGACUUCAUUUCGGCAAGGGCUUCGACAAUACGACACACAUGCUGGAGGACAUAGGCAUGGAGAAGUGCCUUGAUCUUGAGGUGGGUUGAGCUUGGAAUACAUGGAGUAAAUGUCAUUGUGAAAUGGUUGAGAGGGUGAAGGGAUUUUAGACGAGGUUGGUGAGCCAUAUGAAAUAAUUAAUCCAGCAACUCGAUCACUUUGGCAGUGUGUCUUGUGUGUUCUUUUAAAGGUGUUAACACACAUAAAUGCAGCUCUCGAUUGAGCAAAUUACAGAACUGCCAUUUCUUACUUUGAAGGAUAUAUACACAUAUAUAUAUCUGGCUGGCAUGGGUACUUUUUCAUCUGAUCGAUAGCUGCUUUUAAUAGGAAUUUAAUUAGGCUGAUCUCCGGUAUGUGAAGCUAAGCCUAUCUAUACAAGUAUAUAUAUACCUCAGCUGCUUGACCUUAAUGAAUUAAGCAUAAUUAAUAAAUACACACUGUUAGAGUAAAAUACACCAUUAAUUACAUGCCAUCGUAUAUGCAAGAAUAGUAAUAUUAUACUGAUCACUUUAUAAAAGUUGAUCACCACGAAUUAACUUGAUUUGGUUACUACGAAUAUUAUUACUAUCUCAGAAUCGUUAAAUCAAUUGUUGCAUCAACGAUGAUUAGUGUGGGAGAUAAAUUAAUCAAGUAUCAUAGCAUCAGUAUGUAAUUAAUGAUAUGAUAACUAAAUUAGCUGCGCAAUAGUUAGAAAAAUUAAACUUAUAAGCUUGAUACAAUGGCCUGAGUAAUGAAAGCAAAAAAUUAUAGUUUGGCUGAUAAAUUACAACGAACUAAUUAAAAGCUCAGUACACAAUAAAUGGUGUAUUAAUUCACCCUAUAUAUAUAUAUAUUCAAGUUAUACUCAUUAAGAAGUAUAUAUGUACUUUCUAUACAAAACAUAUUUACAAAUUAAGACACUAUUAAUUAAUUAAUUAGAAUUGCGAACGUGUUAACUCUAUAUAUCCGCGCGCCUAGCAUUAAUUGCAAGGGAUUGAUACAAUAUAUAGCUUUAAUUUUGUGAUGGCAUAAGUACCCUAGAUUUUAAUUAAUUGGAGAAUAUGGGGAUAUUCGUUGAGAAAGUGGAGUGAGUUUGGUGUGGCUUCUCUGACAAGAGCAGAUUGCGGUGAGAAUCUCCACAACAAGGAAGGAAAAGUAAAGGGGCAACAACAGCGGCAGGUGAGAGCCUAAACCAACUUUAGUAUUGUGCUAGAAAAUAGCAGCCAAUCACAUGAAAGAUUGGGACACAUACAUGCAUCAUCCUGCUUUCGCAUUCCUUGCUCUUUCAAGUCAAUAUACUACGUCAAGAUAGUCCAAAACGUUCAACUUUCUAGGUUUGAGGGUUUUGAUACGGGGCAUCAUGGUUACAUCAAUACGGGGAAAACGAUAUGUAAAAGCGGGAUAUAUAACAACAUAAACUCAACUCCAAUUUCGUGGGAUCAAGGUUGAAUUAAAUUGACACACAAGAAAUUUAAAUAUAAUAUAUUCUUUUUCACCCAGUUAGAGGUGAAACCAUAUAUAUAUAUAUAUAUAUAUAUAUACACACUACAAGAUAAUUAGGUUAUAGGGACACAUGUUUGGGACACUUUUGAGUAAGUGUCCUAUUUAUGCUAAAACUUAAAAAAAACAUCUACUAAUACCUAAAUAUAAAGCCCAAUCCAACCAAAANACUGAAAUUCUAGACGAAGAGCCUUUACUGUCGUUCUCCUCCGCCACCGCAGCCAACGAGAUAGAGUUUCGGCAGUUGCUAAAUGCUUAAAUAAGUGUUUGUAAAUUAGCAGCACUCUUUUAGAUUAUAGCGACACUCUUUAACUGUCACUAUAUACCUAGCGACCCCACAUAUAGCAACACUUUUUAAAAGUGUCGGUAAUUUUAGCUAGCAACACUUUUUUGACAUUAACUGUCACUAUAUACCUAGCGACCCCACAUUUAAAAGUGUCGCUAUAGACCGUUUUUGUUGUAGUGAUAUAUAUAUAUAUAUAUAUAUAUAUAUAUAGAGUCCGGCUACUAUACUCUAAUGAGUACGAUCGCCUUCGUAUUCAUAAGUCGUUUUCAAUGAUAGAGCUUCCGAAUCGACGAUCCAUACCGUUAAACAUUUUUUAGAGCAUUUAAAACUUCUAGAAAUCAAAUUUCAUAAUUUUUCAACAUCAUUUACUUUACGAUCAAAAACUCACAAAAUUGACAAUUUUUAACGGCCGGUAUGAAAUACUGGCUAGUUUAACGGUGCAAAAGAAUCCGAAUAGGUUGAAUUUUUGAUAGAAAAUUCUAUUUACUACCUAGAUAAAGAUCAAUAACUUCAAUCUUAAAUUGAAGGAUCUGAUCAUCCAUUUUUAAGACGUCGUUCGAUUUUGACCGUUCAUUUUAUGCCCGCUUGAUGGACAUUAUUAUGAUUUCGAAAAAUUACGAAAUUUAUUUUCUAGAAGUUUUAAAUACUCUAGAUCAUAUUUAACGGAGUGGAUCGUCGAUUCGGAAGCUCAAUCAUCGAGAACAACUUAUGAGUACGAAGGGCUCUAUACUCAUAAGAGUAUAAUACCAGUUUAAUCUGUCAUGCUCCGAAGUCCCAUUGUGUUUAAAAACAAAGCGGAAGUGCUCAAAUUUUUUUUUUGAAAACCUGACCCUCAGGGUAUGCCAGAUCCGCCACAAAUAUAGGGAGUCCACUAUUCACACGGACAGAGUCUCCCUUGUAUUUGCACGGCGUCGCAUAAGUACAAGAUACAAUAUUUGCCAAACAGGAUACAACCACACAUAUACACAUACACAUAAUCAAACAUCAUUCGCAAUCACAUCUACAAACAGAGUUAUUCAUAAAUUCACAACUAUUAGUUUAAAAUGUUUCCUACCCGGAAACUUGUUUUGAAAUACUAAAUCAUGAAAAUCACGAGAAAACCUUUUAAAACCGUUUUCCACACGGAAACUCUUUUCUUUUAAAAACUCGCUACCAUAAGAGGUAGAAAACCAUUUCCAUUUCACAGAAAUCCCAAUUCUAUUAUUACAUUUAUAAAACUAGAUGAAUUCAAGGUAAUAGUAAUUGAACCAAGUAAACUGUCUAAGUCAUUUAUUUAAAGAAGUUAGGUUAGAGAAUUAACCAACAACGGGACGAUGGCUCUAUCGAUCACUAGGCUUGCUCUUCACGAACCGUCCCACUAGGACCUGCGACGUCACCUGUAAUGAGGGUGGAGGGGUGAGAACAUGUAAACAUGUCUCCCCUCCCAAUGGGUACCGCAAGCCGACGAGAGCGAGGGGUACGCACCAGUCAGUGAGGAUAAACAACAAUAUGGGUAAGUGAAAUACAGUAGCAACGAUAAUAAAUAAAUAGGAUAUAUAAAUGUACAGCUACUGCUACUGUAUGUAUGCAUCAACGGACAACAAGUCCAAAAUACCAAAUCUGGAUCAACCAUAUUGGUCCGCAACACCUCAGGCCUAUGCCACAACUGCCCAAUCUAUACAUGACCCUCGCAUAAAGCACCCGGGUCUGAAAGGUGUAUGACCCUCGCAUAAAGCAUCCGGGUCUGAAAUAUAUAUGACCCUUGCAUAAAGCACCCGGGCUCAUGGGUUAGCACUCCCAACCACUUUUUCGGAAAAGAACACCCUCUUGCGGUGGAUCAGACUGCUAGUAUUCGUAAAAUGCGUACGAGCAGUGGCGAUCGAUGCUGAAUGCUCAAUAGCCAACAAUCGGCAACUAGCCGACAAUCCCGUCCCUCUGGGCACACCGACCAUAUAGGUCGUCAAAUGGUCCAACCGGCCACGUAGGUCACGAUAACAAUACAAUAAGACGACCAACUAGGUCACAGAUACGAGAUACGAGAACCGACCAACCAGGUCACAGAUAUCACAAAUAAUCACAAAACCGCUCUAGUCUAAACAUGAUAUCGGAUACGCAAAACAGCUAAGUAGAGCAAUAAAGAAACAUGGUAUAGGUGCUAGGCUCAACAUAUAAUACAUGCAUUUAGAGUAACAAUGGGACAACAAGGGUAAGGAGAUAUCACUGAGCGUGCACUACUGUACCGACUUCGGAUCGAAGUAUCCACCUAUACAAAUUGGUACUGGCCUUCCAACUACGGAGAAAGUCACAACCGGACCUACGAGGGGUCCACCGGGUUAGCGUCCAACCUACAACACGAAUCACUAACUCACAAACCCCACCAAUAACCCUACGGGAAUUAGUUUCCCAAAACCGAUUGCCCAACACGUCGGAAGUCCCGAAAAUCGCACCGGGACUCCGCCGGGACCCUCGUACUGUCCCGGCACUGACCAACUCCAGCUACAAGUCACCCGCUGCCACUAAACAUAUAUUUUCGUGUGACUUGGGAGCAAAAAUAUUAUCUCACUUCGAAACGAUUAUCAUAGGAUAAUCGUUCGGGUUCCCGAAAGUGUCCAAUUCGACACCGGAACCCACCGUCGCUCACCCGUCGUUUUCGAACCCUUAAAACGACGCGGGUGACCAGCCAACCAGGCUCAGCAACGACACAAAUUAUCACGAGGCACCAUCGGAAGAAUUUCGAACCGAAAACGCGUUCCGUCAGUGGAUUUCACCGAAAAACGCACCGAAAAUCAACAUUUGAUUUCCGAAAAGGCUUGGGGCCGUGGACAACCAAUCCAGAGGUCACCCACUGCCCACACACGCUGCCAAUAACGACCACAACAAGCACAAUUGCGUAAAAACCCUCCGAUUACAUAAAAUCACAUUAUUUUAUGUGAUUUUCAGGGUUUUACGGCUCGACCGCACAACCGAGAGUAUUCAAGCUAAGCCGAGACACUCGCCGACAGGUCUCGGUGUGCCGGAGGCCGUGUUCACAUUUCAGAGCACUGCCGGCCACUGUGGCAAGCGCGCGACCGAUGCAAACAUCAGCGAAAUAGCGCGCAUAGUGCCUAAAUCGUGUCUAACACGCAAACCGAGGCAUCACUGACCCCAACGGAGGUGAGCACGAUGUUCGGCACGGAUUAGAGAUCAUCGUCCUCACUUCCAGAAUUAUCGAGGUGCCCUCGAAUCGCCGGAAUGGCGACCGGAACCUCAAAUAGUGCACAGAAACUAUAAUUUAAUGCUUACCGAACCAGUGGGAGCACGGGUUGGUCGCCGGCAACCGAACGGCGGGGACGCCGGCAGGGGACGGGCGCGGCCAGUCAGUGGGGUCCGGGGCACGUGCUGGCCGGCGGCGGGAGGCAGCCGGUGGCGCGGCGGAGGAGAUCAAGCCCACACAACACGGCUCGGCCCUAGGAGGCAGCGGCGGCCAGGCGGCGGCCGGAGGAGCGACGGGGCGACGACGAUCGGUCGCCGGAGGCCGAGGGGAGGGCGGCACGCUCGACGUUAGGCGGCAGCGCGACGCGCGGAGGCCAAGGUGGCUCCGUCUCGGCCCGCACAAAGUUUGGGUGGUCGCAGGGAGCACAAGCAGCGGCCGGUGGCCUCGGGGACGGCGGCGAUGGUACGUGGGGGAUCGCCAGAGACCGAGGAAGUGUAGAGCUACUAUGCUAUUGGAAGCAUAAAGUAGUUGGUGCUUCUGAUUUUUUAGCCCUUGAAUGAAAGAUUUUACGGUUGAAAUGAUAGCAGUCCUCUUAGGGUUGAGUAGUCCCUAUAGGGUUGAGUGGUCCCCAUUAGUUAAUAAUAUUAAUCCAAUGGUUAGAAAUGAACAAUGGGGUUGAUCUAAAGGCUAAAAAAUCAGAAGCACCAACUAUUUUAUACUUCCGAUAGCAUAGUAGCACUACUAUAUAUAUAUAUAUAUAUAUAGAGCUAGGCUACUAUACUAUCUAUAGUACCGAGCUCCAAUACUAUAGUGUUGGUUUUCGAUCUUAGGGCGUUCAAAUCAACGAUCCACACCGUUAAAACUGAUCUAGGGUAUUUAAAGUUUCUAAAAAUAAAAUUUUAUAUUUUUUCGACAUAGUUUACUUUAUGAUCAAACUAUUUCAAAAUUGUCAAUUUUCAAUGGCUAUUAUGACGAGUUUGGAGUUUAACGGUGUAGAGGAAUCUAAAUUUCUUCAAAUUUUGAUAGAAAAUACUUUAAACUAUAUAGAUUAAGGUUAACAUUCUUGAUCUUGAAUUUAAAAGUCCUAUACUCAAAUUUUAAAGAUUAUUCAAUUUCCACCGUCCAUUUUGAUAUAAUUUAUUUACUAAGUAAACGAUAUCGAAAAAAACUAAAAUUUUAUUCCUAAGAAAUUCAUAUACCNUACUACCGAUUUGUUUUUGAUGAUAGAGCUUCCAAAUCGACGAUCGGCACCGUUGAACACCAUCUAGACCAUUUAAAUUAUCUAGAAAUCAAAUUUCAUGAUUUUUUGGCAUCACUAACUGAACGAUCAAAGGGUUACAAAAUCUAUAAUUUUAAUGGCCGAUAUGGUGCGUUUGCUCGUUUAACGGUAUAGAAGAGUUCAAAUCAACUAAAUUUUUGUUAGAAAAUUCUUUAAACUAUUUAAAAUAAGAUCUACACUCUAGAUCUCAAAUAUAAAAAUUGUAUCAUCACUUUUUGAAGGAUAUUCAUUUCCAGCCAUUCAUUUUUCUAUUCACUUGAUGGAUAAGAGAACAAUAUCGAAAAUGUUUGAAAUUUGAUUUUCAGAUAGUUUAAAGUAGUUUAGAUCAUGUUUAACGGUGCUGAUCAUCAAUUUGGAAGCUCUAUCAUCGAAAACAAAUUAGUAGUAAACCCGAGCCGUUUACUACCGAUAGUAUUCUAGUAAAACUCUAUAUAUAUAUAUAUAUGCUAGGGCUAUUAUACUCUUAUGAGUAUAGAGCUCUUCAUACUCAUAAGUUGUUUUUAAUGAUGGAGCUUUCAAAUCGACGAUCCACUCCCUUAAAUAUGAUCUAAAGUAUUUGAAACUUCAAGAAAAUAAAUUCGUAAUUUUUAAAAAUCAUAAUAAAUUCAUCAAGCGAGUAUAAAAUGAAUGGUCAAAAUCAAACGACGUCUUAAAAAUGAAUGAUCGGAUCCUUCAAUUUAAGAUCGGAGUUAUUAAUCUUUAUCUAUGUUGUGAAUAGAAUUUUCUAUCAAAAAUUCAACCGAUUUCAAUUCUUUACACCGUUAAACUAGCAAAUAUCCCAUACUGGCCUUUAAAAAUUGUCAAUUUUGUGACCUUUUCAUCGUAAGGUAAAUGAUGUCGAAAAAUUAUAAAUUUGAUUCCUAGACAUUUUAAAUGCUCUACAUGACGUUUAACGGUGUGGAUCGUCGAUUUGGAAACUCUAUCAUCGAAAACAACUAAACAACUUAUGAGUAUGAGGGCGAUCGUACUCAUAAGAGUAUAGUAGUUGGACUCUAUAUAUAUAUAUAUAGAGAGAGAGAGAGAGAGAGAGAGCUAGUCUCCUAUACUAUCUAUAGUACCGAGGUUCCGGUACUAUAGUCUCGUUUUCGAUCUUAGGGUGUUCAAAUCAACGAUCCACACCGUUAAAACUGAUAUAGGGUAUUUAAAGUUUUUAGAAAUAAAAUUUUAUAUUUUUUUGACAUAGUUUACUUUAUGAUCAAACGAUUUCAAAAUUGUCAAUUUUCAAUGGCUACUAUGAUGAGUUUGGAGUUUAACGGUGUAAAAGAAUCUAAAUUUCUUCAAAUUUUGAUAGAAAAUACUUUAAACUAUCUAGAUUAAGGUUAACAUUCUUGAUCUUGAAUUUAAAAGUCCUAUGCUCAAAUUUUAAAGAUUAUUCAAUUUUCACCGUUCAUUUUGAUAUAAUUUAUUUACUAAGUAAACGAUGUCGAAUAAAACUAAAAUUUUAUUCCUAAGAACAUCAUAUACUCAAGAUCAUAUUUAACAGUGUGGAUGAUCGGAUCCUUCAAUUUAAGAUCAGAGUUAUUUAUUUUUAUCCAGGUAGUGAAUAGAAUUUUCUAUCAAAAAAUCAACCUAUUCCAAUUCUUUUACACCGUUAAAUUAGCAAGUAUCCCAUACCGGCCGUUAAAAAUUGUUAAUUUUGUGAGGUUUUGAUCAUAAGGUGGAUGAUAUCGAAAAAUUAUAAAAUUUGAUUUCUAGAAGUUUUAAAUGCUCUAUAUAAUGUUUAACGAUAUGGAUCGUCGAUUCAGAAACUCUAUCAUCGAAAACAUAUGAGUACGAGGGCGAUCGUACUCAUAAGAGUAUAGUAGCUAGCCGGACUCUAUAGUCUAUAUAUAUAUAUAUAUAUAUAGGGAGGCUGGUAUGCUUCUGAAAGUACGGAGCCCUCCGUGCUUCCAAGUCAUUUUCGAUAUUAGGACUUUCGAAUCGACGAUCAGCUCCGCUAGAUGUGAUCUAAAGUAUUUAAAGUAUCUAGAAAAUAAAUUUCUAAAAAAGGCUAAAAUGCAGAAAUUUCCUCUAUAAAUAUCCCUUUUUCACUUAAUUUCCUGUCUUUCAAAAACUUCGAUUUUCUCCUUUUUAAAUUUAGAGUUGUAACACUCAACUAAACAAUAUUAUAAUUUCAUCACUAUACUGUGCAUAAAUUAUAUAAUAUAGCAAAGAAAUUUAAUGAGAGAUAUAUAUAUGUUAUAUUCUUAAAAAUGGUGAGAAUAAUUUUAUAUAUUCUCUUAAAUUAAAUAACUUUUUAAAAGAGAUACUUGACUAUUUACUAAUUUACUUUUCUUUUUCUAUCAUUUUUAAGAACAAAAUAAGUAUACUAGUAAUUAUCUAAUUGUACUACACAAUUUAUGUUCAAAGCAAUGACGAAAUUAUAACAAUUCUGAGCUACUAGGUGUUAUGACUUUAUAUUUUAAGAUAGGCAAAGUAUAAGUUUUAUAUUUUGAGGAAUGCUUCAAUACAAUAUAAAUAUUAAAAUCUAAUUCUUAAUUAGUAAAGGGUAUAAUUGAGUUUUACGUGAAGUAACCUGUUGAACAGGUUACCGAUUUGAAUUAGUUAACAUGACAAUAUUGGAAAAAAAAAAAUAGUAGUAUAUGCCAAAUUUGUCACCAUUCUAUAAAUAUUAAAUAUCUUAUUUACGUUGGUAACUUACCAAAUUAGAUAAUACCCAAUUUGUUAAGUAUACAGCUCAAAAAAAUAUUAAAUUUAUUUUUUGAAGUUGGUAUUGUAAUGUAAAAUUUUAAUUUUGAAAUUUAUAUUAAACUUUUAAAUUUGAAUCUAAAUUGAACUUUUAAUCUUAAAGACAAAUUUUAAUUUUUGAUUUAAAUUGAAAUUUUGAAUAGAAACUGAAAGUUUUAUUUUAAAUUUGUGUUUUAUAUUUAAAAAAAUUGAAUUUUAUUUAUAAUUAAGUUUUAAAUAUUGUUUUGAAUUUAAAUUUACAAUUUGGUUGUAAUUUGAAAUCCAACUAUUUCUGUAGGCAUUUGAAAAGAUCAGAAUAUUUUUAGUUGGAUAAAAUUGGUUUUGUAAAUCAAAAUAUUUUACAAAGACCAAAAUACCGUUUAAAUAGGUACUUGGUGAAUAGUACCUAUGUUUCAAUAGUAGAUCAUCUCUAGAUUCAUAUUAAAUCUAUACCAUCUAUUAAGAAAAAUAAAUGGUCAAGAUUUAUGUGGUGUAUUGAAUGUCGGACCAUCACAUUAUUAUUAUGCACAUUGUUAUUUAUUACGGUUCUUUGAAUCAAGAUAGAUCUAAGGUACUACAGCAUGUCACACAUCCAUUAGCUAGGUUCCAUGCUCCGGAUUGGAGGAACCCCGAAAAAAAAAAAAAAAAAAAAAAAAAAUCCUCUUUUUAACAUAUCUAAGUAAAUAAAGAACAACUGCCUGUUCGAAGUUUAUUUAAAGGCGCAAGUACGUAGGAAGACGAAGUAAAUUAUUGUAAUUGUAAUAUGACGACGGGGAGUCCAGCUAUGAUGCUUGUAAAAGCACCAAGCACUUGGUGCUUGUAAGUUUUUUACCGUUAGAUCUACUUCUCGGAUCAUUUUUAACCAUUAGAUUAUACUAUUCAACCAAUCACCCACUAAACCCUAGGGGGCCCACAUCAUCUUAACCACAUAUCUUUUAAUCCAAUGGCUAAAAAUUUACAAGCACCAAUAAUUUGGUACUUUUAAAAGCAUAGAAGCUCAAUUCUAUAAUGACGUACGGAAGAAGUUUUACUUUUGUUUCUUGGGGAAGCAACCUAUCUAUUUAUACAACAGAAGAAAAGGGAUACAUGAAUGUGACUGAUCAGCACUGAUCAGGGAAUCUCAUUCCUUCAUCAGCUUUUUUCUAUGGUCUUCGCUUAAUUAAAGUCCAAAAUCAGCAUGACCAAGAAAAGCCACUAUUUGCAUUGAUUCUGCUAACUUAAUUAAUUUUGUCAUCUCUUAAGAUAAGCCUAAAUUAUAUAUGCACAAAAUUGUAAGUUUCGUAGGGAACUGUACGGUUUUAAUUAUUCUACUGUAUAAUUAAUGUGCUAUGACCUCAUCAUAACAGUUUUCGCAACUGACUAUUAAUUCAUGAAUUAAUGCUAUUAAAUUCAAGAAAAAAAAGAAUUUUUGCUAUAAAAAUCAACAAUAAAUAAAUUUGUGGGUAAAUUGCGCAUUUGGUCUUCAAACUAUGAGGAGGGUGAGACUUUAUUACUCAAACGUUACUCUGUUAUAAUUUUUAACUCGAACUAUGACACCCGAAGAGUCCCACAUUGGAUGGAAAUAGAAUUAUAAUUGGGUAUUUAAGAGGACUUCACCCUAGCAAUAAUAACUGGGUUUAAGCAUUUCGGGCUGGUGGUGUGGACCCAACGAGUUAUUAUUGCUAGCGGUCGAGUCGUUAAUUUGGUAUCAGAGUCUGUGAGAUGAGUCUUGGCUGAGAGUCUAUGACAGAGAGUCUGUGACAUCCCGAUAGUUCCACAUCGGAUUGCUAGUGGGCUGGAUCGUUAUACAAACUUGCAGAUUUGUUGCAAUCAACUUGUAUAACACAACCGACCAUCGCUAGAGCAAGUAGCAAAGAGUUUGAUUGUUGGUACCCGAGACCCAAGUUCGAAUCCUAGUUGAUUCACAUUUCCAGCUAAGUUUAUUUCUAAAAUAAAAUAAACGAAGCGGGUAGCAUGCUACCUAUCUCUAAAAAAAAAAACUUGUAUAACACAAUUUAGUUGAGUAAAUAUUGAUAUAUUCGCUAAGAUAAAAGUGAUAUAACAAUGUUGUAAUUGAUAAUGUGCUAAGAACUAAGAUGCUACAACAUUUUUAUAUCAGCAAUGCAUCAGAAUUUUAUCGACUAAAUUGGGUUGUGAGACUUAAUUACAACAAUUCUGAAAGGUCAAACUAGAAAUUGCAAAAAACUAAAGUUUAAGGAUUACAUAAAGUGUCACCUGCCUAAUAGUUUGAGGACCAAACAUGCAAUUCACCCUAAAUUUGUUUUCAAUUGAUUAAAUCAGUGCAUCGAACGAAGAAAACUUUUACUACAAAAUUUAAUUUAAUCUAAAUACUUUGAGCGCAAAGAUUAUUUUGCCACAAUUUUUGGAGCUAUCUAAUAUUCAUUAAACAGAUAGUGGUAAUGCAAAUUGGUGGAAAACCUUUGGCACACCACUUUUUUUAACACAAUUUCUUUUUUUUUUUUUUUUGAGAGAUAGAUAGUACGCUACCCGCUUCGUUUAUUUUAUUUAGAAAUAAACUUAGCUGAAAAUGUGAAUUAAGUAGGAUUCGAACUUGGAACCUCGGGUACCAACCACCAAUUCUUUUGUCACUUGCUCUGGAGUUCUAGUUGGCCUUUAGAUACAAGUCAUAAGAAUGGAUAUCUUUCUUAACUACAAAAGAUAUUUAAGGGAAAAUGUGACAAGGCAUGGAGUAUGGAUCACACAAGCUGGAGAGAGAGAGAGAGAGAGAGAGAGAGAGAGAGGUGUUCCUUCCAGCGAAUGUGGUUGUACAACACUAGAAUUCUAUAUUUGUUCAAUGACGAGAGAUUUUCUUUCAUGGCAAGAGGGAAUGGGACUCUUUAACUUUAAGGCCACGUACUCAUUGGGGGCCACUUUUGUAGUUCAUCCUUUUUGUGUGAAAGAGAGAAGUUAGAUUUCGAACAGAUUGUUUCUGAUCCUUUUUGCACUCCAAUGACUUCACCUCUACAAUCAUUUGCACAUGGGUGAAGAUUGGAGACUAUGGAUUGCACAGUUCACGCAUAGGAGCUUUUGAUUUAGACAUUUACUGAACACAAAAAUCCUUUUGCAUAUGCAUACCUACUUGCAUGAAUUGGAGUAGCUAGCUGAAUACAGAGUAGUUCAAAGUCCCCAUAAAAUUUGCGCUAGUAAUGGAUCCAUUUUGUAGUUUACUAGCAAACUGAGACGUAUUGCUGUGUAUCACAAAUCCUUUCCUAUGAUUGAAAGGUAAGGAUAGGAGCCGUCGUCAAUCCUUUUUUUAGCUCUUUAAAACUCCUUUGUCAAUUCUCACUCCAUACAUAUUUGGUUCUGUUAUGAGGAAUCAAGUGAAGGGUGCGGUAUAAUACCCGUACCCAAUUAAUUUUAAAAUCUAAAUAUAUGGACGUGAUAAACCCAUUAGUAAAUUGGGAUUUAUUUGUGCCGUCGGAUUUAACUGAUUUCGUUGGAUUUGUCGGUUUAAACCGAUUUGGUUGGAUUUGAUUUUCGGAUUAGUUAUACUCUAACACUUGUUAGAGUAGGAUUUAGAUUUAACCCUAAUUAAUCACCUAUCAAUAGGUAACUUAGAAAGAGUGUACGGCCAAAAAAAUAUAUAAUAAAAUAUUGUGCCCGGAUUCUUUAUGCGUGGCUGCUAGUGGGAGCAAGAUCCGACGAUCGUAUGGGAAGAAGAGAGAGAACUAGGUGAGUCUCCAAUGUUUAGUUCUUUUGGUUUUUAAUCUUCUUUUCAUUCUUUUUCUACCUCCCCAUCUUAUCCUCUCUUCACAGUGUACCACCAUCGUCAACGCCGGAGUGGUCGCCGGCCACCUACGAUCGGGUCGAGGCGAACUCCUCCGCAUGGGGUGAUCAGGGUUAGCCACGAAAGGGGUUUGGGAGAUUCUUUGAUUGGGUUGGGAAGGAGAAGGAACAAGAUGGAAUUAUUUUGGAUAUAGCUAGACCUGGUUGAUGGUAGACCACAUUAAUUUUUGCAUGGUUUAUUUUACAUUUGAGUUUCAAUUUAUCAUAACGAUAUUAUAAGCGAUUAAGUUGUUAAUUAGAGCAUUUUGCCUCUGUCUAAUAAACUAUAAUUAAUCAAAAAAGCUUAUGGUGCAUGCUGCCGGUGUUGGACUAGAUGCAAUGAAAUUUGGGUGCUUAUAAUUGCUUAAAAGAUCAGCCAGAGACCAAUCUAUAAAUAGCAAUCUUGGUUUUAGGGACUGGUUCGUAAAAAAGGCAUAACUUUUUAUCUAUAAGGCGGAAUUUCACGAUUUAAGUGCCAUUGGACUCGUCUUGAAAAUACGGAUAAGAUUAUGUGUUCUAAUUAUCUAGAUUUGCUAUAUAUUUGUCGCAAAAUUUUUAAUAGUUAAAGAGUUUACUUGAAAUGGGGCUGCUAUAAAACCUCAAUAUUAGAACGUGACAAAUUUGUGAGCAUUAAUAAAGGCAAGUAAAUAGUUAGUUUUUUGCAAAAGAUAGAAAACAUAUGGAUCCGAGUGGGUCUCAGGCACGAUUAUUAUUUGUUUUAUUUAUUAGUUGUUAGUACACCCGAGUGGAUUUUAUGAUUAUUAUAGGUUGUUGUGGUUUAUUUAUUUUCAUAUUAUUAUUAUCAUUAAAAUAAUCUAUUGUUCACGACCGCUGUGGUCGAAUACCUAGGAAGGAAGGGAUUUUUUCUUGUACACAAUUCCCAAGGAGGAACGACGCAUAGUUGUAACUCUCGUGGUUAGAGCGACAAAGUGGAGAUGCUCCAAAUUAUGACCAUUGUGGUUUCAAAUUGAAAAAUUAUCGUUAUCCUUAAAAUAGAUUUCUUUUUAAGCGUUGCGCUUACUUUUAUUGUGUACGGUUUCAGGAGCCGAGAUUAGGGCGUGUGAGAUAAUUGGCUGGCGUUAGAUAGAUUUUUAUCUUUUGGACAUAUAGUUUAUUUUGAUUUGAGAUUGAUUUAUUGGACAUUUAGUAGUUAUUGCUCAGUUUUUUUAAUUAAUAAAUUGUUUUAUUUAGUCUUUAAUUAAAAGGGGCUCUGAAUCUAUUUAAGGGCUUCCGUUUUUCGAGGUUCUUCUUUCAGAUUCGUGGCCAGUUGUUGCGGCUCGGAUCCGAGCAGUUGGAUCCAAAGUGUGACAGCUUUACUGGUAUCAGAGCCUAAGUUAUUAACACCUUAGGGCAAAAUGACACAAUACUCAGGAAUUUAGGACUCCCGAGUGUGUGGGAUUACUUUUUUGGAUACGAGGCGAGGGUUUAGCGUAUUUUAUGUCUUGAUUGUGUCUGUUAUGUAGAUGAUGGCUCGUUCUCGGAGGACUAUUAGUUCGCAAGCUAACGUACCUAGUGAUCCUCUUUUGUCGAAGAACCUACCACCAAAGAACUCAUAAUCGGAGGUGUUUUCAGCUAGAAACGACAGAGAGGGUCCCAAGACCCAUUGCAGGAGAUGUUGAGUGUUAUUAACACUCAGCAGGAUCAAAUGAUGGCCCUAUAGAAGGAGAUCAGAGGCAUUAAUGCAACACAAAGUAGCGAUCCUCGUGGUGGGAAAAGCCUUAUUGAUUUUCAGAAGCUAAAUCCUUCUAUUUUUCAUAGGUCGACGAUCCUCUAGAGGCAGAAUUUUGGUUCCAGAAGAUGGAGAAGGCCUUGAUGCAUAUGGGCAUUAGAGGAGAGACGCAGGUGACCUUCGCCAUUUAUAUGCUUCGGAGAGGAGCUUAUGAGUGGUGGAAGUCAGUCCGGAAUGGACAAAGUGAAAAGACACAAUCAUUGACAUAGAAGAAAUUUUGCAAGAUUUUCUAUAACAAAUAUGUCCCAGAAAGUAUUUGUUGGGCUAAGAAGGCAGAAUUCAUGCACUUGGAAUAAGAUAAUCGCAUGGUUACUGAGUACGAGCUCAAAAAUUUGAGAAAGUGCUAAGGCUAGACAUCAUGCAGUUGGUUGUUGGUUAUGAAUUGCUGAAUCUCAAAGAUAUUGUGAACAAGGCAGAUUGCACAAGUUAUUUUUGAGCCGAGUUGAACUCAUGACACCUUUUCUCAGUCUCUUUUAGGAGGUGCGUCCGAACGCCGAGACAAUCAGAAAGGCAGGAAUGAUGGCUCGAGACAGAGAGAAGGAGGUCGACUCUCACGACUGCAACCUAAAAAUAUGAGGUGUAGCCAAUGUGGCGAACCACACCAUACAAAUAGAUGUAGGUGGAAGUCGGGCGCCUGCGGUUCAUUUGUACAUAAGAUCACUAGCUGCCUAGUUAGGAAGCAGAAGCGAGAUGCGAUACAUCAGUAAGGUGCGGGCGCAUCAACAAGCGGGACGACUCCUUAGGGUCCACGUGCAUAGAGGUCGAUACAAAACUAGAGGGAUUAGAGUGGCUCGGGUCACUCAAGCCAGAUGCGAGCAUAUGCGAUGACGCAGCGGGAUAGGUUAGGAGGCAUGGACGUCCUGACAUGUAUGUUACAUUUCUCAGCAGUUUAUGCAUAUACCUUAUUUGAUUCUAGUGCCACACACUCUUUUAUAUUUAGGAAGGUAAUCUUAAAUUAUGGUUUGACGCAUUCACCGUUGGGAUUUGAUUUGUAGAUUGACAUGCUUGUGGGAGGCCUUAGUGUUUGCGAACUGUGCAGAUCUUGUCCAGUAGAAGUCAACGGUCAUGUGUUGCCAACUGACCCUAUAGUCAUCGAUAUGAAUGAGUUCCAUGUUAUUGAUGGCCCAUGGAGCCACAAUCGAUUGCUCUAGUCAGAAAGUGAUGUUUCAUACUCUCGACGGAUCAAAGUUUAUAUUCACAUCGGGAGUCAGAGCCGCUCUCCCCCGAGAAUCAUCUCAGCCUUGAAGGCUACUAAAAUGCUGUGGAGCAGCUGCUUCGCUAUUUUAAUAUCCACGAUGGACUCUUAGAAUGAGCAGUUAAAGCUUGAGGAGAUUCUUAUUGUGAGGGAGUUUCAGAUAUAUUUUUAUCCGAUUUGUUGGGGUUAUCGCCUGAUCGAGAGAGCGAGUUUAUUAUUGAUUUGGCUCCGGGUGCGAAACCUAUCUCUAAACCCCUGUAUCAGAUGGCUGCCGUGAGUUGCGGGAGUUGAAAGACCAGCUACAAGAGCUGUUUGAUAAAGAUUUUAUUCGACCUAGUGUUUUGCCAUGGGGUGCACUAGUUUUGUUCGUGAAGAAAAAGGAUAGAAGUUUGCAACUGUGUAUUAACUAUAAGGAGUUAAAUCGGAUCAUAGUGAAGAAAAAAUAUCCAUUAUCUCGUAUUGGUGACUUAUUUGACCAGCUAUAGGGUUUCUAGAUUUUCUCAAAAAUUGACUUGUGGUCGGGCUACCACCAGCUGAAGAUCAAGGUUGAAGAUAUUCCCAAGACAGCUUUUAGGAUGCACUAUAGGCAUUAUGAGUUUCUUGUGAUGCCGUUUGGGUUGAAAAAUGCUCCAGUCGCAUUUAUAGACCUAAUAAAUCGAAUCGUCAAGCCCUAUCUAGACCAGUUUAUAGUGGUGUUUAUUAAUGACAUACUUAUUUACUCGCAGAGUGCAAAGCAGCACGAGCAGCACAUUAGAUUUUUUAUUGUGUUCCAAAUUCUGCAAUGAGGUUCCAGUUUUGGUUCAUUCGAACGUGGACUAUGAUUCGUUGCAAAUUUACACUAUUGGUGCACAAUUGAAUAAUCUCAUUACGUUUUACACUUUGUUCGAUUGCAUGAUAAUUUGUAUUCUUUGUAAAUUUAUACUGUCAGGGCGCAGGAGAAUAGUCUACGGAGGUUCCAGUUUCGGUUCAUUGGAACGUGGACGUCGAUUCGUUGCAAAUUUACACGUUUGGGGAAUAAUGGAACAACUAAUGAGGUUUUGCUCUUUGUUCGAUUGAAUGAGAAUAUGUAUUCUUUGCAAAUUUACCCAGCUAAGGCGCAGUAGAAUAGUCUAAUGAGGUUCCAAUUUUGGUUCAUUUGAACGUGGACUACGAUUCAUUGCAAAUUUGCACUCUUGGAGCACAAUAGAAUAACCUAAUUACGUUUUACUCUUUGUUCAAUUGAGUGAGAACGUGUAUUCAUUCCAAAUUUAUACUGUCAGGGCACAGGACAAUAGUCUACUGAGGUUCCAGUUUCGGUUCAUUUGAACGUGGACAUCGAUUUGUUGCAAAUUUACACUCUUUGGGCAUAAUAGCACAAUCUAAUGAGGUUUUACUCUUUGUUUGAUUUAAUGAGAACAUGUAUUCGUUGCAAAUAUGUAGUACUCUGAACUGGGCAAAUUGCGAAGUUCGAGAGUGGAAUUGACAAUUGGAGUUAACCCACAUCUUUUAAAGAGUGGUAGUGAAGUUUUUGAUAAGCCAUAUGAGUGAUUGGACUGCCGGAAGUAGGAAAGUGCAUUGCAAAAUACACUUUUCUGCAUUCUGCACUAGGUACCGGUACCAGAUCGGGUACCGGUAUCAAAUGCAAACUGCUGCGUGGCAACAGGAUGAUUUUGGUCUUUUUGGCAUUCAAUCUUAUCCCCUCAGGCCCCUGUACAACCCCUGAAGCUACUUGAAGGUUACUAGAGCUCAAGGGAAGGGAUUUGUAUCUCAUUCACUUUCUCUCUCUAGAUUUUUUUCUCUCUCUAAAAGGGAUCAAGGUUUUGAGCUCAUUUUUCUUCUCCUCUUGUGUGUUUGCUGAUUUGGAGGACUUAGAGCAGCUGUGGGGAAGAAGAAAAGUGGUCUUGGGAGAGGGUAUUCGCAGCUCUAGUUCUGUAGGAAGUUGAGUUACAGCUGGGUGAGGUGAACUACUCAACUUUCCCUUAGUUGAUGCUAUAGUAAUAAAGUUGAUGUGGGUUCUUGGUCUCUUGUCACAGCCGAUUUUGGGAGGUACUCACCAGAUGUACCAAGGGAUAUUUUGCUAAAUUUCAGCCACCUGGAACUAGAGAAAAGCUGGAAUAAAGGUUGGAAAAUGAUUAGCCAACUACUUACCUUGUUUUGUUACUAUACUAAGUGUAUUAGUUAUAGUUGUGAUGCAGUUGGGAGGUGGAUUCACAAUAGAUUUUUAUGAACCUUAGGACUGAACUUUGGGUGACCUUUAAAGCUGAUUUAGGGGUACUUCAACCAACUGGAAAGUGGAAUCCAAGUUUGGGAAUUUAAACAAGUAAGAUUCAGCCUAUACUAUGUACUUAUAUGGGAAUACUAAUGCCGUUUUUGAUGAUUGGUUGCAGCAGGCUCACAACUGGUGUGGGACCUCUUGACUGGGAUUUUGAUGGUCAUUAAAGGUUAGAAUUAGUGUAUUCUAACCUAAAGUAAAGUGGAAGUAAUCUUGGAUCAGUAUUAGAUGGGAAUUUUAGCCUAAAUGGAGUAAUUAUGUGAAUUUGGUAUACUUUAAUGUGGAAAUAGGAAGUAAACUCCUAGCUGAUUUCAAAUUUCAUGCUAGGGUGCUUGGAGACUUCGAUUUACCUUUGCUUGCUGGUUCAACAGGAUUUGACGUGUAUUGGUGGGUUCGACCUCACCGGAAUAAGUGGUUUCCCUAUGUUCUUUAUGAUACUAUAGAAUUGCUAGUUAUGGGUAACCAUGAUAAUAGAUUACUAAAUGAAGAGUAUUUGAGAUAACGAGCAUACUUGUUUUAUGCGACUAAAAUAGACCUCUAUUGAGUAGAUAUUCGGGGGCAAAUAUCUUGUAUUGCAUAUAUGCAGUUAACAUUCAGUAUAGAUGCAUUAACAAUGAAAUAGACUUGACAUUCAUAAGCUGGUAGGUUAUGAAAGGUUGGAUUGACAGAAUAGUAGUAAUUCGAUUAGAUGACUUUAUCAUACUUCUAUGAAGUAGAGAACAAGGCAUUAAAUCUAUAACUUGGAAAAUAGUAUCUUUGUAUAGAUAAGUUAUGAAUGCAAAGGGCAUGUGUAAACUAGCAUCAGUUUCAUAUGGUUGUAUAAUCCAGUGACACUAGUAUGUUAUAUUGUGUUUAAACUCCGACCUAUAGGUCGGUAGAGGUUGUUCUAUAUUUGAGACAUGAUGAUUGAGGACCUUGUACUUGGGUCAUGCUUGCUUGCCAUUGUGCUCAUUCGCACAUGCUUGUGAGGGUCGCUCCCUACAAGGCGGCACUCUGGAGUUGGCCUACGUGACAGAUUGCUCACCCGUGCGGGAUUGGGUGUCGAAGUGGAUUGCCGUGGGGAGUGUUUACUACCACGGGGCUAUUAGGCGCGGUGCAAGCUGAACUACCUUGUGUAGAUCGCUAUGAAUUAAACAAAUUGCUAUAUUGUAUUGCUAAUAUUCUCUAUUUGAUAGUGUGCAUUCAUGAGAAUAUGUAGCAUGCCUACUUGUAUAGUAUAGCCUUUACUUGCAUAUCGUGAUUGUGAUAUUGGAAACCAAGUCAUUUUAAUAUCUUCUAGCUGUAUUAGCAUUGUUAUUUCUUUCAUGCUAUAGAUAUACUUGUUUUCUUUCCUUACAUCAUAAACCUGGUGGUGUAAUCCGCUGAGGUCGGCGGCUUGCCCACUGGGAACUAUUGCUUAAUAGUUCUCACGCCCUUUUGUUGUUGUUUGUCUACAGAGCCAUCCACUACGGGAGAGGCUAGGGAUCGCGGCAAGGGGGUCGCAUCUAGGUAGGCAUAGCGUGGAGUCCUGCUAGGUGAUCACCUCGCUAUUCUGAGUUUGCCGACAAGGAGGAUGUGUACCUAUGUAUAGAGAGACUACCAGGUGUUUAUAUAGUUCUUUUGGCGACCCUGAGGUGUAUAUGUAUGGUUAGAGUGAUGUAAUUACAGUUUUAUGUUUCUACUUCUUGUUGAUCUUGGUGAAGUUUAUAUCUAUAUCCGCUAGCUGGUAGUACUUUUGGUAUAUUUUGUACAUACUUUGCUCUAAUACCAUGUUAGACUCUUUGGCUCAUUGUUACUUUUCUAGCAUGGUUUUGGUAGACGCCUUGUAUACUGUAGGAAUAUGGCAGGUCUGUGCAUGUAUCGGGAUGUAUCGGGUAUGCUUCCGCUGAUACCCGGGCGUGACAAAAUAUAUACUAUUAGGGCGCAGAAGAAUAGUCUAAUGAGGUUCCAGUUUUGGAUCCUUUAAACGUGGACAACGAUUCGUUGCAAAUUUACACUCCUGGGGCAUAAUAGAAUAAUUUAAUGAGGUUUUACUCUUUGUUCAAUCAAAUAAUAACAUGUAUUCGUUGCAAAUUUAAACUGAUAGGGCGCACAAGAAUAGUGUAAUGAGGUUCCAGUUUUGGUUCAUUUAAACGUGGACAUCAAUUCGUUGCAAAUUUACACUCUUGGGGCAUAGUAGAACAAUAUAAUUAGAUUUUACUUUUUGUUCGAUUGAAUGAGAACAUGUAUUCAUUCCAAAUUUAUACUGCCAAAGGCACAGAAGAAUAGUGUAUUUAGGGUCCAGUUUUGGUUCAUUUGAACGUGGACAUCAAUUCGUUGCAAAUUUACAUUCUAGGGACAUAAUAGAACAUUCUAAUUAAGUUUUACUCUGUGUUCGAUUGAAUGAGAACAUGUAUUCGUUGCAAAUUUAUAAUGUUAGAGCGCUGGGGAAUAGUCUAAUGAGGUUCCAAUUCUGGUUCUUUUGAACAUGGACAUCGAUUCGUUGCAAAUUUACACUCUUGAAGCAUAAUAGAAUAAUCUAAUUACGUUUUUCUUUUUGUUUGAUUGAAUGAGAAGAUGUAUUCGUUGCAAAUUUAUACUGUUAGGGCGCAGUAGAAUAGUCUAAUGAGGUUCUAGUUUCGGUUCUUUUGAGCAUGGACAUUGAUUCGUUUCAAAUUUACACUCUUGGUGCUUAAUAGAACAAUUUAAUGAGGUUUUACCCUUUGUUCGAUUGAGUGGGAACAUGUAUUCGUUCCAAAUUUAUACUGUCAGGGCACAGGGGAAUAGUCUACUGAGGUUCCAGUUUCGGUUCAUUUGAACGUGGAUAUCGAUUCGUUGCAAAUUUACACUCUUUGGGUAUAAUAGAACAAUCUAAUGAGGUUUUACUUUUUGUUCGAUUUAAUGUGAACAUAUAUUUGUUGCAAAUAUAUAUUGUUAGGGCGUAGGGCGUAGAAAAAUAGUCUAAUGAGGUUCCAGUUUCAGUUCCUUUGAACAUGGACAUCGAUUCGUUGCAAAUUUACACUCUUAGGGAAUAAUAGAACAAUUUAUUGAGGUUUUACUCUUUGUUGAUCAAAUGAGAACAUGUAUUCGUUGCAAAUUUAUACUGAUAGGGCGCACGAGAAUAGUGUCGUUGCAAAUUUAUACUGAUAGGGCGCACGAGAAUAGUGUAAUGAGGUUCUAGUUUUGGUUCAUUUGAACGUGGACAUCGAUUCGUUGCAAAUUUACACUCUAGAGACAUAAUAGAACAUUCUAAUGAGGUUUUACUCUUUGUUCGAUUGAAUAAAAACUUUUAUUCGUUGCAAAUUUACACUGUUAGGGCGCUGGAGAAUAGUCUAAUGAGAUUCCAGUUUUGGUUCAUUUGAACGUGGACAUCGAUUCGUUGCAAAUUUACACUAUUGGGGCAUAGUAGAACAAUAUAAUUAGGUUUUACUUUUUGUUCGAUUGAAUGAGAACAUGUAUUCGUUGCAAAUUUAUAAUGUUAGAGCGCUGGGAAAUAGUCUAAUGAGGUUCCAGUUUCAGUUCUUUUGAACGUGGACAUCGAUUUGUUGCAAAUUUACACUCUCGAAGCAUAAUAGAAUAAUCUAAUUACGUUUUUCUCUUUGUUUGAUUGAAUGAGAAGAUGUAUUCGUUGCAAAUUUAUACUGUUAGGGCGCAGUAGAAUAGUCUAAUGAGGUUCUAGUUUCGGUUCUUUUGAACAUAGACAUCGAUUCAUUUCAAAUUUACACUCUUGGGGCUUAAUAGAACAAUCUAAUGAGGUUUUACCCUUUGUUCGAUUGCUAGGGCUUCAAAAAGAUAUUUUAUGCUUAGCCAUGUUUUAGAGACACCCCACAUCUUAUUUAUAUGUUUAGAAGACAUUAGAAAUAGAUUAAGAUUGAAAAAAUCAUAUUUGGAAACUCAAAACCAUAUUUAGAAAACUAACGUAGGGUUCAGGGUCCGGACCUUGAAAGUCCUGACCUUGCCUGCACGGUCCUGACCUUGACAGCCUACCAGCCAAGAAGGCUUACGGGUUUCGGACCUUGCUUUCAGGGUCUGGAACUUGAAACUUGGAAAACUUAAUUUUUAUAUUUUAAAUCAUUUUUUAUCUAUUCUAAUGUCUUCCAAACACUUGUAAAUGAUCAUAAAUCAUCAUCAAUAUUAUUCAAACUUACCAAGCAUUGUGGAUUCAUGUUUUGAGUCUUCGAGUCUUCGAUUUUCAUCUUUUCUUCUAUAAACCUUCAAGACUCUGACUUACUUCACAAAAUAUGCCAACUUAAAAUCCAUAACAGUGGAAGCAUGGCUGAGGCCCACAAAUGCUAUUGAGGCGCAGCCUUUUGAGCCUAGCUAGCUAUUAUAGGUGGUUCGUAGAGAGGUUCUCGCAGAUAGCAGUCCCUUUGACGUGGUUAAUGCAAAAAAGAGCAAAAUUUGUGUUGACCGAUGUGUGUGAGGAAAAUUUUCAAGAGCUAAAGCAUGCUUGGUCACGGCUCCUAUCUUGACCUUAUGUUAAGGGUGAAGGCUUUAUCAUUUACAAUGAUACAUCCCUAUAAGAUUUAAGGUGUGUAUUAAUGCAAAAUAAUUGAGUGAUCGCUUAGUGUAGCAUACCGAACUUUUAUAAUUGUGAAGUUUCGGUGUAUGUUGGUUUGGAAAGCUAUUAGAAUGGUUCCGGUGAAGUUCGGGAGCAUUCGGUUGUUUUCGAUACGCGUCAGGCGCGAAAACAAAACCCGAAAAGCUAUGAUUGGACCUUGGCCUAAAUCUGGCAAGGCGUGGUUGAAAAGAGGGUUUAAACGCGCUCGAAAACAUGUUUUGGGGUCUCGGUACGAUUAGAGAUGAAUCGGAGGCCCAACGAGCGAAAACGAAGCAAAACGGAGAAGAAACGAAAAAAUGCUGAAAUUUGGCUAAGUCCUUAAAAUUACUGGGCUGUCUGGACCUACGGGGUCCAGACCUUGGUUUUAGGGUCCGGACCCCAAGAGCGAAAAAUGCCUAGUUUGGGCUGAUGGCAGUUUUGUAAUUAGGGGGAACUUUAUGUAUAAAGGGGCUUCUUCUCCCUUUCAUCUUCCUCCUCUCUUCACAGCCACCCCACCAUUGUUUCUAGAGAGAGAAGCUCCUCUCUCUCUCUCUCUAGAUAUCUCUCUCCUCUCUCAAGAUCUAUCUCCCAAAGUUGGGAUUUUGGAGGAGAAGGACCUUGCGAAUGCGUGGGAGGCGACGGUGCGGGCCCUCGUGCGCCCGUUUGAGCGGGGUGGUUCCGUCUCGGCGUUCAUAUUUUGGUAAGCUUUUGGGAUUUGGUUUAAUCCUUAAUGCUUAGUGUGCUAAUGGUCUCUAGUAUAGUUCUAACAUGUUUUCUCCAUGAGAUUUGGACUAUUUUGGGAAUAUGAGGAAGCUAGGGCUUAGAAAUGGGGGUUUUGGGUUUGUUGGGGUUUUGAUCUAUUUUAACCCCAUAUUUCUCUAAUUGAAGGUUAGAGAUGAGCCCCUAAUGACUCUAAGUUGAGAAUCGACAAGUGUUCGGUGACCAUUUGCGAGUACGGGUCGAACCGGACAACGAGUGCCGCGGGCGGCCGAUUGCAAGUGUCGACAAGCAAUCGGAAAGCGAUUUGAGGUGGGUUGUGCUCACCGAAGUUAUUAGCUCGCUUCCAUGUCGAAGCGAAGUGAGAGUUGUUGUUGAUGCAUGUAUGGUAGUUAGUUGUAAAACAUAUGAAUGCUAUGUUAGACUACCAUUGGAUGCAAGAGUACCUAAUGUAGAAAUACUAGAUGAAAUGCAUAUAUGUAUAAUUGGUAGGUUGAAUAUGAUAAUGUGGAUGCAUGAAUCCUAUUAUGCUUGGUUUUUAUUACCUACCAUUGAGAUGGAUGCAUAAUGAACAUAUUGUAGAAAUUCUAGAUGACAUGCAUGUUGAAAGGUUAUAGCCGGUGCUAGAUUCAUGUAGAUGUGAACUUGGUCGAUAACUCUAGGUUGAUUAGAGAAGUUGACAUUGGAAAACAAGAGCAUGUGGGCUAUAUAUAUUACUCGAAACGUGUUAAGGAUUCUUAAAGUUGGCGAAUUUUGUAAAGUCGAAUGGAGUCUUGAAGAGUUAAAAGCGAAGUUUUUGAAAAGAAGAUUCAAUUUGAAGAUCAAAGACUCAUUUGGGAAGCUCGACACCUCAGGUAUGCAAGAUAGAUCAUUUGUGGUGAAUCUAAAAGUUCAAAAUGUAUUUAGAAGACUUAGAUUGCCUUAAUGUUUUAAAAUAUUUCAAUCUGAGCUUUUCAAGGUUCAGGGACCGGUCCCUGAUCAGAAGGACCGGUCCCCGUAGGUCCUCCGUGCAUAUUCAAGCAAUGCAAUCGGUCCCCGAGCUGAGAGACCGGUUCCCGUAGCUUCGGUUUUCAACUACGCAACGAGGGACCGGUCCCCGAGAUGAGAGACCAGUUCCCGUAGCCUAUGUUUUCAGCUACGCAUCGAGGGACCGAUCUCCACCUGAGAGGACCGGUCCUCCAAGGACCGGUCUCCUCGAGAGCACCGGUCCCUGAGGACGACAUAAGUUUUUAAAAUUGUGUUUUUGAAAUCCUAGUCUAUCUAGAAGUCUUCUAAAUCUAUAAAUAAGCUAUGAGGGUUACAUUAUGCUUAAGGCUCAGAAUUUAGACCAUCAUAAACCCUAGAAACUUGUUUUUCGAGCUUUAUGAUUCAAUUCUUAAAGCAAGUUUCAAUUCAUUGAUCGUCGACUUGAUUCUAAGGUUUUAAUUUGAAUGUUUCUUUGAGAAUCAAGUUUAUGAUUGACUAAAAGGAAUUCCUCAAAGCUUAUGGUUUUCUAAGUUUCAAUCACCACAAACUAUCAUCUCUACGCGCUUCGGAUGGAGGAUUUGCGCGAGGAUCGCUUGUGAAGGCCGUGGAUUCGGUGGGCGUUUCGUGGAGUCGAGGCGUGUUUGCUGCGAGGACUUGCGGCGUGAUCGGUUGGAGGAUUCCAAGCGAUCGAGGACCGGCAAAGACAAUCUACAACGAGGAUUCGGUAAAUUGAGUUGUGUAUUUUCGUUAAAUCACCUGCACUUAAGUUUUCUUAGUGGAUUUUCUUUGCGUGAUCGGUCCCGUGGGUUUUUCUCUCCGGAUUGGAGGUUUCCCACGUUAAAAUUCGGUAUGUUGAUUUUAUUUUUCGCAUUCUCUUUUAAUUUGCAUCGAGUUUAUUUGGUUUUGCCAUUUACACCUAUUCACCCCCCCUUCUAGGUGUUAUUUACCUUUUAGAUCCUUUGGAUCCAUAUCUUUCAAGUGGUAUCAGAGUGGGUAUAGGUUGUAAACUAUGGCCGAGGGAGGUAACAUUAAUCGACCACCUCUUUUUGAUGGCACUAAUUACGCUUAUUGGAAAGUCCGAAUGAGAGCGUUCCUUAUUGCCAUUGACGAGAGGGUUUGGAAAGCUAUUGAAUUCGGAUGGAAACAUCCUACUGAAGUAGUCGAUAAUGUUACGGGUCCCAAACCUAGAAAUAAGUGGACGAAAGAGAAAAUGAACUAUCUUCGUUCAAUGGGAAGGGUAUCAAUGNACAACCACUACACUACCACUAGCAUGCAUAACGUGUAAUAACCAUCUAGCACCCUAUAAUGCAAAAACUCAAUAUGCAGACUUGAUCAACAAUACACUUAGACAUAGGGAGCAGUUCAACUGCUUCGGGAUAGUCACCACCCACCUCUUGGCGAUGUCGUGACUCGUGGAAUGGAGCUCGGUGACUCUAGGACGCCACUUUGGCACUCCGAAGGUUGGUCACACGAGAAGGCAGUAGCUAGCUGUCUGCAGGCGGUCUCGGGUGAGUCGAGCGGCUGGGACUCCUCACCUAUGCGAUUGAGUCGUGAGAUUGAGGGCGAGCCUUCGGGCUAGCCGAGUGAUUGGGUGAUCUAAUAAAUAACAUCGUUGUUGAGCAUCGUUGUUGUUUUCAUUCAUGUCUACAUAUCUAUCUAUCUAUCUGUCUACCUACUUAUGCCUGCUUAGACCUAGUGGGAAGAUUGGCGGAGUAGGCGGCCGAACCCACUGGGAACUAUAAACAAUAGUUCUCACCCCACCUUGUUGCAGGGCCGAGUACGAGCGCAUCGGUCGAGGAUCAUAGUAAGGGCUUAGCGCCCUAGUGGUUGUAGAUACUUCCUAUUUUGCAUUAGUGGUCACCUUAUAUACAUGAGAGUAGAUGAUGUAUAGAUGUGAGAUGUUUUGGAAGAUUGUAAACUUUAUGUUUAUGUUUUGGAAGAAUGUAAAGUUAAUCAAAUGUAUUAAAGAGUUGAAUGGAUGUAAUAGUUAGAGUAUCUCUAUUUUGUUCACUUGUUUAUCCUCGUGACACUUGCUCUUAUUUGUUUAGCACUGGUUGUGCUCUCGCUGUGGUUGUUGAUUGUGUAUGUAUUUCAAGUUGUUAUUCCUGGGCACUUGUUGUACACAAUCUUGAUGCUUAGCCUUGGGCAGACAGCGGAGGUGCUGUCCAUCCGGCGUCUGUUCAACGCGCCCGAACCAGACCAAAUUGGUAGCGGUCUCGGGGCGUGACAGUGGUAUUAGCCACUAGGAUGUACAUGGGUCGAGCCUAAAUAGGUCAACAGUUUAGGGUUGCAGAUGACCCUUGAGAUGAGAAAAUGGAUUCUGGAAUCCCUAGUGAUGUGGCCGCAAAAGAAGCUGUGGAAACUUGUGGCAGAAUGUAAGUGAAUCAGAACUGCGGGUAUGUGUGGUUCUCUUCGCCCAACAGUGAUUCAACGGGUAUGUGUGGUUCUCCUCACCCGGUGUAAACUUGAAAUGGGUAUGUGUGGUUCUCCUCGCCCAUUUAGCUUAUUGGAUGAUGUCGCUAGGAUUGACUUGAGCCAUUGUUGGGUGUGUGCGAUGCGUUCGCCGCCAGAUGGCUAAGCCAAGGAGUGCGGUGGGCUGUUGUAGCAGCCAGGCUGUGGCAGAGAUGCAGCCAGUGUGCAGUAGUCCACAGAAGAUUGACUCGAGGCCGAGUCGGGUGGAUAGCUUGGUUAAGGUAGAGGAAACCUUAAAGGCUAGUGAUAAAUGGCAUGAUCUAAGGCGGUAGAGACCUUAGAUACUAGUUGGACUUGAGCUGUGGAACUAAGGUAGUGAAAACCUUAGAGCUAGUUGAUAUGAGCUAUGGAUAGCAGGAUUGAAAGUAGUAUCAAUUGAUCUACUAGUUGACUGCAUAGUUGCAUAAUUGCAUGAUUUAUAUAUUGCAUGUUGAGAGGCAUAACAUGUAUUUUUGUAUUGCAUAAAUAUCUGUGGAUAUCUGUUGGACUAACAUGUUGCAGUGCCUCCUUCGGACCUGGCGGGUCGAGCUUUUCCCUUGGGUGGCUGUACUCACUGGGAACUAUGGACAAUAGUUCUCACCCCACGUUGUUUUGGGGUUACAGAUUCACACGCGAGCGGCACGGCGGCGCGAGGAAAGGGCAUAGCUCCGUAGAUAGCGCCCUACCAUUGGACCAAAGAUAGUGGUACCCCGAGGUGGUCUAGCUUAGGGGUGUAGAAGUGAAAGAAACAAACUUGUAAUAAUAAUUGUAAUAAUCGGAUUGUAAUUGGGGGUUAAUAUGAUGUAAGAAUGCAAGUGAGCUGAAUGCUUGUAAUAGCUUAGGUGUUUUAUGUUUUUGAUACUUCCUUAUGCAAUCUGUAUGUUGAAUACUGUUCCUAGUUGAAACCUCUUGUAUUGUAUUGAUUGCGACGCUUAGGACGUACAGAAAAAACUCUGUUCGUUCGGCGGUCUGUUAGCGGGCCCGAACCUAACCAAAUAGGCGGGUGGCUGGGCGUGACAGAUAAAGUAGUAUCAGAGCAUAAAGUAGAGAAUGGAAAUGGUUUAGACGGACCUAGGAAACCCUAAAAUAGUAAACCAUAGAGAAUAAGGCUCGUGAGAGACGAGGACUUGUGAUUAGUGGUGAAAGGUUAAUGGAUUGGGUUGUGUUAUAAACCUCUAAGACGGAUAUUAGAGGUAGACUCGAGGUGUGGUUUAUUCUCAACCAAGGGUGUUCAUGUUGGGCGCGCACAACAUGAAACCGAGUGAUGAGAAUAAGCGCCCUUGCGCGACUUUCGCCUGAUUUGAGUCGAUGUUAAUUGUUUUGUACUCGACCUAGAGGGUCGAGAGCUGAUCGAGUUGUCCUAUUUCAGGAAGCGAUGGCACCGCAUAGGCGAUCUUCAUCCAGAUCGGCGCGGGAGGGGACAAGUGGUGUCCCUGAGCAAACCGACACAAGCGGAGACUCCGAACUUCGUGAUCAGUUGGCCACACUCGUUUGAGUGGUGAGGCAACAAGCAGAUGUGACGCAGCGUCAGCAGGAGGCUGUCAUGCGCCAGGAUGAGCGAAUGAAAAGACUCCAAGAGAUGGUAGAUCAGCUCGUGACUGCACCAGUUUCGGCUCGUCAAGUACGGCCGAGAGUCGCGGCGGAGGUAUUUCCGUCGGGGUCGGGCAACCCGACCUUUAGCUUUUCAGAGGUAGAGGCGGAGAGAGAGCAGGCUUUGGCAGCUCUCAUAACCUUCAAGAAAUUUGAUCCGCCUACCUUUGAUGGAGAGGAUGCAGAUCCGUGGACUGUGGAGAUGUGGAUUGACUCCAUGGAAACUCUCUUUGAGAAUCUGUACACUUUGGAGCGGGACAAGGUACACCUAGCCGUGCACUAUCUGAAACAGUCGGUGAAGGUGUGGUGGAAAGGCGUCAAGUGGAAUCGAUCGCCUAGUCCCCCUCCUAUGACUUGGGAAGAGUUUCGGGAUUGAUAUUCUCUGCCUAUUUCCCCGACAGUGAAAAGAGAAAGCUUAAGGAAAGAUUCCGGAAGCUGCGGCAAGGAAACCGCUUGGUCAGGCAAUACGAGUGAAAAUUCUCCCGUGUCGUGAAUUGUGUCCCGAACGUGGUGCGGGAUGACAAAGAUAUGGCCAAUUGGUUUGAGCGUGGACUUCGGCCAGACAUUUACAAGGCUGUGAACAUACUUAAGUUGCAGACAUUUGCCGAAGUCUUGGAUCGGGCCUUGUGGGCGUAGCAAGGCAAUGCUUUCGUGCGUGAGGAGCGUGAAGCUUCUGAACGUGAGGGGUGAGACCAUUGUCGAGCGGUUCGGGUGGACAAUCAAGUUCUAGGCACCACUCGAAAUCGUCCUCUACCCGGUCCUCCCCAGGAUGCGUGAUUUGUGGUGGUUCCCGCUGGGCUCGGCGGUGUGUGCUGCGCGAUGGAAGGUGCCUUCGUUGUGGGCAGCCGGGCCAUGUGCGGGAUGAGUGUCCGCAAGGGUAUGACCAGAUCCUGACACCGGCGACGACCUUCUCCUCAUCGGGACAGCCUGUAGGUGUGCCACCUGCGGCAUGAUCGGAAGAGCGGCCAUUGAGGGUGAUGCAACCGAGGGGUUCGCGGCGGGCGGCAAGUAGCCAUGGAUACGCGACCCGGGUUGUGGGACCUGCUGCUACUGACGAUGCCAUAGCAGGUAUGAAUUAAUUGAGCAAGCAUAUGCUUCUGCAUGAUGUUAAGUUGGUGCAUUGCAUAUAUUUAUCGAGUGGUCAGUUGCUACUAUUUAUGCAUUAGUAUAGUAGGGACCAGUGGACGGGUAGGUGUGGGUACCCGGGCAUGCUUGUGUGAGAGAGUAUAGCGUCUGCUGGAGCAGGUAGAGAAUCGGAUGACACUAGUGAAUUGCUAGUAAUGAUUUUUGGACAAGAAAUGAGACUCGUGGUAGAGAUAAAAUGGUGAAGCGACUUUCAAGGCAAUGAGUAGUUGAUUGCGAGAGUUGAGCCAUGACAUUGUAAACAUCCGAGUGUUUCGGAUGUAGUUCCGGUAGAUUGAACAGUGAAAGUAGAUCACUUUUGAGAGAGCGGUUGGUUGGUUGCCGAGUACGGGCACGUGGACCUAGUAGUACCUCGAAUUGAGGUGGGUGAGUCGUGCUCGUGUGGUCGCUGUGCGUAGGCAAGGUUGGCUAAUGUGGACUUGGUGUGGAACGCUAUAGAAGCGUGUGACGCUCGAAUGCAGAUACUCGUAGAGUGCGGAUGUGGAUUUAGCCGAGAGAGUGAGUUGGCAAUAGCACUUCAGUAUUGCUAAGUGUGAAGCGGGCCAUGGAUCACUCAUAGGGCUGGUAGCUCGCACUGGGUGCUUAGGAGCCGAUAGUGGUACGUAUGACUCGGUAAAGCAUGUCGUGUAAGACGACGACGACGGGUGUUGCUUGAGGACGAUCCGUGCCUGGACCAUUUGUAGACUGUGGAGCCUGGGGCCUUACGGACAAGCAUAGUCAGCUGUGUAGAACAGCGGCCUAGUACCUACGGGUAGGGCAGAUGUUUGGUCAGGACGAUAGUCCGAGCUUAGACCCGGGAGCGUGGAAUGCCACGUGUUAGAUCGUAUGAUCGAUGAUACACCGAGUGUGUAGUGACCCAACCCGAGGAUUUGUUGUGGUUUGGGGUCAUGGUUUCUCCUGAUUGGAGUGUGUGCGAAUUCCUAAGUGAGAAUUUCGCCAGUGAUUAAUGGGUCUACGCUUGCGACUGAGAGACGCUAUGCGUAGUUCAGAAAGGUUUAGGCAGUAGGCUUGUGUAGGAUCGGUGACCUUUGGUCUACCUUAUGGAAACCGAGAUAAGCGAUUUGGCCGAUAACUCUGUUAGUGAGUUUGGCUUGGGUUCGCGAACCGAGUGUUCGUGUGAAUUUGUUGCAAGAACAAAUUGGUGUUGGCUGUGGCAAUCGAAAAAGAGAGUAAAGUGGUCUCUAGGAGACACUUGGAUCAUGGAUAGCCAUGCGGAAGUUGAGGAUAAUGCUCUCUUGAGGGUUGACAUUGGAGAUGUGCCGAAGUGUACCAUCUCGUAGUAGAGCAAAGACCGGAACUAACAUGUUGAAGGGCCUCCUUCGGACCUGGUGGGUCGAGCUUUUUCCUUGGGUGGCCGUACACACUGGGAACUAUAGACAAUAGUUCUCACCCCAUGUUGUUUUGGGGUUACAGGUUCACACACGAGCGGCGCGGCGACGCGAGGAAAGGGCGUAGCUCCGUAGAUAGCGCCCUACCAUUAGACCAGAGAUAGUGGUACCCCGAGGUGGUCUAGCUUAGGGGUGUAGAAGUGAAAGAAACAAACUUGUAAUAAUAAUUGAAAUAAUCGGAUUGUAUUUGGAGGUUAAUGUGAUGUAAGAAUGCAAGUGAGCUGAAUGCUUAUAAUAACUUAGUUGUUUUAUAUUUUUGAUACUUCCUUAUGCAAUCUGUAUGUUGAAUAUUGUUCCUAGUUGGAACCUCUUGUAUUGUAUUGAUUGCGACGCCUAGGACGUACAGGGGAAACUCUGUCCGUUCGGCGGUCUAUUAGCGGGCUCGAACCCGACCAAAUAGGCGGGUGGCGGGGCGUGACAUAGAACUUGCCGCAAUGGUGUUUACUCAUGAGGAUUUGGUGUCAUUAUUUUUAUGAAGAGUACUAUGAGUUCUACAUCGAUCAUAAAAACAUGAAGUAUCUUUUCACACAAAAAGAACUAAAUAUGCGACGGUGUAGAUGGCUUGAGUUUAUGAAGGGUUAUGACUUGAGUUUAUGAAGGAUUCAAAAAUAAAUUCAAAAAUUAAGAUUAAAAUUAAAUUUAAAUUUAAACUUUGAAUCAAAAAUUAAAAUAAAAAAAUUAAAGUUUGAGUCCAAAAUUAGAAACAGAUUUCAAGAAGUAGGUUUGAGCUACUUUUGAUUUUGGGCGUCGAAAAUCAAAAAACUGAUUCUAAAAAUCAGAAUCAGAUUUUGAAAACGAGAUUGCUAAACGCUCUAUUAAGCCGAAAUUUACUUUUGAGCCCAGAAUCACUUUUUAAAAGCUAGGCCAAACACCCCUUAAGAUACAGUAAUCGGUUAUGUGUUCCCAACGACGAGGCCUUAAAGAAAAAAGUCAUGGAAGAGGCUCAUUCGUCAGCUUAAACCAUACAUCCAGAUAACACAAAGAUGUAUCAUGACAUAAAAAGAGUUUUCUGGUGGGCUGGCAUGAAAGAAGACAUUGCUCAAUUUGUUUCACAAUUUCUUGUAUGCCAACAGGUCAGGCCUGAGCACCAAAGGAUGGCGGGGUUGUUGCAGCCGCUGCUAGUGCCCAAGUGGAAAUAGGAGAAAAUCACUAUGGACUUUGUAGUAGGGUUACCACGUACACAGUCAGGGUCUGAUGCAAUUUGGGUGGUCAUGAACCAGCUGACUAAGUCCACGCACUUCAUACCUAUUAAGGUGAGUUACAAUUUGGAGAAACUUGUGGAGUUACAUAUCGAAGAUAUGACGAGGCUACAUCGUGUCCUGAUAUCUAUUGUUUUGGAUCGAGUUCCAUGAUUUGUGUCGCGAUUUGGCAUAGCUUGCAUGAGGUUUUGGGGUCUUGCUUAGAUAUGUGUACGGCAUACCAUCCGCAGAGCGAUGGUCAAUCAGAUCUCACAAUUCAGAUAUUAGAGGAUAUAUUGCGAGCAUGCGCGAUUGAUGGAGUAGGUCGUAGGAUUGGCACUUACCAUUGGCGGAGUUUGCAUAUAAUAAUAGUAACCAAGCCAGCAUAUAGAUGUGUCAUGCCCCCAAACCCACCACUUUGGUCGGAUUCGAGCGCACCGACAGACCGCCAAACGGACAGAGUUUUCCAUGUCUGCCCAAAGCAUCACAAUCAGUACAAUUCAAGUGGUUCCAAAUAGGAACAGAAUUCAUACACCGAUUGCAUAAGGAAGGCAUCAAACAUAAGUACUAAGCUAUUACAAGCAUUCGUCACAUUUCACAUUUACUUUACAUUCUUUUUCCUUCUAAAUACAAUCAACUUUAUUACAAUUUUGUUUCUUUCCUUCCUAUACCCUAAGCUAUACCGACCGAGGGUACUUCUAUCUCUAGUCUCAAGUGGUAGGGCGCUCGCUAUCUACCGAGCUGCGCCCUUUUCCCCUGGCGCCGUGCCACUCACGUGUAGGCCUAAAAAACAUGGGGGUGAGAACUAUAAACAUAGUUCCCAGUGGGUACGGCCACCCAAGGAAAAAACUCGACCCACCAGGUCCAAAGGAGGCAACAUAAGCAAGUUAGUCCAACAAAUAUCAAUAUAUAAUUUAUGCAAGUAAUAAACAUCAUGAUUAUGCCUCACAAAAUGCAAUAUGAAAUCUAUGCAAAUAGAUCUACCAUUCCUACUUUCUAUUUCACGAUCCAUUGCAUUUACUAUCCGCUCCUAAGGUUCUUUUAUCUUAGCCAAGUUUUACCACUCGACUCGGUCUUGAGUCAAUCACCAGCGGAUUAUCGCUCACAUCCAGGGCUGAGGAGAGGAACCUGCCGUGCAUCUCAGCCUUCGAUCCACAUACCAAGGCGCCAGAUGGGCAGCGUAAAAGCUGCACACACCUGCGGUCACGGAUCCCCCAGUAGGAGAGGAACAUGCCGCAUACACCCACAGCCGGAAUCCUCGAUAGGGAGAGGAUGUAACAUAUCCAAUCCCUGUCGUGUGAUGCCGAGCUUCCGUCAAAACGAGCGGAACGCGGAUUCGGACGAGUUGGAACGGUCCGCAAAGUGUUUAAAGUGCUUUGGAAUGAGUUGCAUAGGGGUUGGAGGACCCAGGAGAGCUAGCUGGGAGAGUUGCAGCUCGAAAUUUGCAACUUUUGCUCUCGGGGUCCGGGCCCUGUGCAGGGUCCAGACCUCGUAGCCGAAAUUCGCCACAGCUGGCAACCCUGUUUUGGUGAAAGUAGAGGGGGUUUUUUUGCAUAUGUGUAAGUGUGUAUGUGUGUGUAUAUGUUGGAUGGCUUAGAGUUUAGCCUUCAUUUACUCUCACACCAACCACAUUAGGGUUUCCCUCUCUCUCUAAAACUUCUCUCUCUCUCCUUCUCUCUCUAGAGCUUGAGCAAGAGAGGCUUGUGGAGGGACUUUGGUAGAGAAGAAGACAAAGUUGAGGGUGGAGCUUGCAAGUGUGCAAAAGCUUGAAGGAAAACUUGGAACCAAAGGUGAGUUUCCAUGGUUUUAAGCUAGGGUUAAGCUUUUUCCUUCUAGCAUGAGUUCCUAGGAGGUAUAUUGGUGGUUUUGAGCAUGUUUCUCCAUGUAUUAGGGGUGUGUUUGGAGAAGAUGACAUUGUAUAGGGUUAUGUUAGGGUUUUGCUUAAAUAAGAUCUAAGUGAGGGAUUGAUCUCUUGUAACCCUAAUUGGUAGGUUUUCUGAUGCAUUGGUGAACUCGGUUCGGCGAUCCGACAAGUCUACACGGAGAAAUCGAGGAAAGGGCCUGUUUUGGCUCAGUUUUGCCGCAGUCGAAAGAAAUAGGCGCCUAAAAAUCACAAAACUUGGAUCGUGGUAUCUUGGCAUUCCUACAAGGUGGGGGGUGCUAUCCGAAAUCUCUGAAUUUUCUAUUAUGUAUAUGUUACCUUCAUUUGAGCAUAUAUGUAUAGUAGAAAUCAUGCAUUAUAGGGCUAUGAGAUAUGUGUUUAUGGUUGAGAAUCAUUUGUAUGCUUCUAGGCUAGAGAACAUAUGAAUUGAAAUGGACCAUGUGUGUUAGAAUCCUAUGAUUGUGUGAUGUGGACUAUGAAAAUAGUAAACAAAGGUGAUAUUGACAUUAGCGGGCAAGAUUUGCACCGAGAACGUGAAUGGCUAAACAAGGUUAAACCUAUUAUAGCAUUGUGGCAAGUGUGGCCUAAAUUAUUGUGACAUGUCAAACUAUGAUAUUAGUGAUAUUAUGACAUUAUGGAAAGUGUGGCCAAGUAAGUGAUAUUAAACCAGGUAAAAACCUAUUGUGACAUUGUGGUAUCGAGGCAAGAGUGGCCUUGGGCUUUGUAGCAUUGUGGCAUUGUGGCUUAUAGCAAGUGUGGCUAUGCGUUCUCAAAAUUGAGGACGAGACUAUACUCACAUUGGGUCUUGGCUUGAGGGCGGUAGCUCCCCCUCAAGCGGUGAGUUCCGGAAUUAACACCACGGGGAGAGCGGUCCACAAAGACGGUCUCUCGAGUGGUAGUGCUUGGAGCCUCCCCCAAUCGACAGGGAUUUUGGUUGUGAGUUUGGGGUAAACCAGGAGCACCCCGUGAUGAUUAGGUAAAAGCCAAGUGAAUGUAAAGCAUGCAUACAUUUAUCAUACAUAUGAUUAUCUAUCUAUUGAUCAAUUUUCUUGCAGGCAUUUUAAUAGCAUUAGGGUGGUUUGUUAUUUCCUUUUCUUUCAUUACAUAUGCCUGAAUAGACCUAGUGGGCGAGUCGGCGAGGUCGGCGGCCGAACCCACUGGAAACUUCUUUUAGUUCUCACACCACUAACCCUGCAGAUCCUAGCGUGAGUGGGGCGUCGAAGGAUCGGGGCAAGGGUAUAGCGCCGUAGUUAGCGGCCACCGGAGUUGUAGUCAUUUCCUAUAUAUAUAUUCAACUUUUGUAUGUUGAAUGAUGUUGUAUAAAUAAAUGAGAUGUAAUCCUUAUGUUUUGGGUUGGAUGACUAUGUCAUGUAUAUACAUGUAUGGAAAGAAGAGAAUGGAUGGAAUAAUUAUAGUUUACUUGUAUUUGGUUAAAAAUGUAAUUAAAUAACAUGUGUGUGGAAUGGUUUAGUUUAGUACAUAGUACUUUCACUUGUUGUUGGUUGUUGUUUGCCAUCGAGCAAACCGUGUAUAAUUGCAUUCAUUUUGUAUUGAAUUGCUAUUAUUGUACAUGUUGGUAGAGCCUUGGGCGGAUAGAAGAGGUGCUGUCCGUUCGGUGUCUGUUGACAUGCCCGAAUCGACCAAAUUGGCGGUAGCGGGGCAUGACAGAGGAACAUGCCAUAUACACCCCAGCGCACGAAGAUUCUUCCGGUGGGAGAGGAACAUGCCAUAUACAUUCGCGGCCAAGAAUCUUCCACAGUCACAACCCUCGAGGUUCUUGCGGUGGGAAAGGAACAUGCCGCCGCAUGCACCCACGGCCAAAAACUUCGACAGUCACAAGUCCUGGGAUUCCGGAGUUCACUUUUCAAGUCUCAAGGGUUAGUCACAUACCUUAUAUUGUCAAGUCAUUUAUGUCCUAGUGGCCAUCCUACCACUACAUUUUCAACCUAUAUUCAAUGACACUAAGUUCAAUGACAUUCUAAUACAAGCGGUCUUCCUACCACUAUGUUAUCCAACCUAUGUUUAAUGACACUAGGUUCAAUACCCAAUGAUGUUCUUUCUUUAUCCUAGUUGUCCACACCUCAGAUUCAUAAUUUCAUAACAUCUUGUCCUUGGUUUCAUAUUUGUUGAGUUCUCUAAUUUUUCUAGAGUUUAUCGACCUAUGUUCAUCAUCCAUAUCUAGGCAUAUAUAUAUGUAUAUAUAUAUAUCUGUAUAUAUAUACAUAUACAUGUAUAUGUAUACAUAUACAUAUAUAUGUAUGUAUAUAUAUACAUAUGCAUGUAUAUAUAUACAUAUGCAUAUAUAUGUAUAUAUAUACAUAUACAUGCAUAUAUAUAUGUAUAUAUAUACAUGUGUAUAUAUAUACAUAUAUAUGAAUAGUACCUAUAACUAUCGCAUGUUUACUACAUCGGUUAAUCUAUAUAUCUCACAGUAAUCCUACUGUAGUAUAUCCUCUCAUGCAUAUGUAUACUAGUAUACCAUACUAUAUGAUGAUAUCUAUACGAUCAUAUAAUGCAGUAUCCAUAUAAUACAGUGUAUUACUACUUUACAUGUAUAUAUAUAUACAUGUAUGUAUAUAUACAUGUAUAAUAUAUAUACAUGUAUGUAUAUACUAACUAUAUCAUAUAUACUACUACUAUCUAUAACAUACAUGUAUCGUACAUAUAUAUAUAUAUAUAUAUCCAUCCUAUAUGUUCUCUGUCAUGCCCCGGAGUCCCUUUUAGUUUGAAAAUACAGCGGAAGUGCCCUAAAUUUUUUUUUUUUUUAAAACCUAGCUCUCAGGGUAUGCCAGAUCCGUCAUAAAUACAAAGAAUCCAUUGUUCACACGAACAGAGUCUCCCCUGUAUUUGCACGGCGUUACACAAGUACAAGAUGUUCAAACAAAGUACAACCACCAUAAUGAAUAUACAACAUUAACAUUCAUUCACCAUUCACUACAGAUUUACCAUUCAGUGUUUAAAUAUAAAACCACAACUAUUAGUUAAAACGUUUCCUACCCGAAAACUGGUUUUGAAAUACUAAGUUACAAAAACCACGAGAAAACCCUUUUAAACUGUUUCCCACACGGAAACCUUUUUCUUUUUAAAACUCGCUACCACGAGGGGUAGAAAACCUUUCUAUUUUACAAAAAUCCACAAAUCUUUAUUAAAUUCAGAAAACCAACUGAAAUCUUGAAUAUUGUAACAUAAUAAAAUACUGAACCAUAUUAGCUGUCUAAGUUAUAUCAACAGAAAUAAAGGGGUUAGCAACUAAACCGAACAAACCGGGUCGGAAGGUCCAUCGACCGCUACAAACGUCUCACGUCUCGUCUAAACCCUCACCGCCCGCAAUUCGUGAAAAUAUGGUGGGGGAGAUGAGAACAUGUAACAUAUCUCCCCUCCCAGUGAGUACCGCAAGCCGACGAAGGCGAUAAGUGCUCACAGGAUCAGGAAGAGAUAAAUAGCAGUAUGGGUAAGUGAAAUACAGUAGCAACGAUAAUGAACGACUGAGAUAUAUAUAUAAAAGAACAACUACCGCUACUGUAACGAAGCAUUGAAAGCAUACAAGGAUAUCAAAACUAUAGUAGCAAGACAACUGUAAAGAAAGAACCGUAAGUAUACAUGCAACAACCACUACUAUAGCUAUAUGCGUCAACAGGACGAGAAGUCCAAAUAUACCUAAUCUGAAAUCUGUGCUCUGUUGGUCCGCACUGCAGACCUCAAGCGUGUGCCCACUGCCACUCUACCAUGCAUAUAACCCAGCCUAGGCCGCUGGGCUCACCGGUUGGCACAUCCAACUACUUUUUCGGAAAAGAACACCCUCUUGCGGUGGAUCAGACCGCUAGUGAUCGUGAAAUGCGAACGAGUCUCGGGCGAUCGAUGCUGAUAUGCUCAAUAGCCAACCGUCGGCAACCAGCCGACAAUCACAGUCCCUUGGGGCAAACCGACCAAUAGGUCAUCAAACUGUAAGGAAGCACAAGAACCGACCACUCAGGUCAACUAGGAUGGAACAACUCAACAUCCUCCCAAAAAUAUGCAAGUACUGAUCAAUAGGUCAACUAAAGUAUAUACGCAAGAACCAACAAGUCAUCUUAGUGUAUAAUCCAGAACUACUGUCAGCCACUAGCUGACAAUCCUACCCCUCAAGGUACACAGACCUCAAAGAUCAUCAAACGACAAGAGUCAAGAACUGACUGACUAGGUCACAAACAUGUCAAAUGGUGGAUAUGAGUAAACUAUAAUCAUCCGUCGGCAACUAACCGACAAUCCCACCCCUCAGGGUAUACCGACCUCAACGGUCAUCGGACAACAGAAGUCAAGGAACUGACCGAAUAGGUCACAAAUACGGGAUAAAGGAUAUGCAGAACAGCUAAGUAGAGCAACAAGGAAAUAUGGUAUAACUACUCUUCUCCUAUUCAUGAUACUAGAUAUGAAAAACUACAGAGUAGAGUAUAACCAAAAUAACAUGGGUACUAGGCUCAACACUAUAUAUCAAGAUAUAUAUAUGCUAGAUAAUAACGAAAGAGCAAAGGUAAGAAACCAUCACCGAGCAUGCACUACUGUACCGACUUCGGAUCGAAGCACCCACCUGUACGAAUAUCGCGCCUGUCUUCUGACUGCGAAAGAAUGUCAACCGGACCUAAGGAAGGUCCACCGGGUUAGAGUCUAACCCACACAUAGUAAACACUAAAGCCACAACCCCACAACUAAUCCCACAAAGAUCGGUUUCCUAAAACCGACUACCGUAACUCGCCGGGAGUCCCGAAACCGCACCAGGACUCCGCCGGGACCCACGAACUGUCCCGGAACUCACCGACUCAAGAUACAAGUCACCCGCUGCCACUAAACACAUAUUUACAUGUGACUUGGAAGCAAAGACCUUAACUCACUCCGAAACGAUUAUCAUCGGAUAAUCGUUCCGAUCCGGGUUCCCGAAAGUGUCUAAUUCGACACCGGAACCCACCGUCGCUCACCCGUCGUUUUCGGACACUCAAAACGACNAUGCGGGUGACCAGCCAAUAAGGCUCAGCGACAUCACAAAUCAUCACGGAGCACCGUCGGAAGAAUUCCGAACCGAAAAUGCGUUCUGUCGACGGAUUUUGCCGAAAAACGCUUCGGAAAUUACUUUUCGAUUUUCGCAAAGGCCUGGGGCCUUGGACGAUCAGUCCAGAGGUUACCCUUAGCCUACAUGUGCUACCAACAGCAGCCACGACAUACUAAAUUGCAUAAAAGCCCUCCCGCUAACAUGAAAUCGUGUUAUUUCAUGUGAUUUCUAGGCUUUUAUGGUCCGUCUACUCAAACCAGGGGUCAAUCAGCCGAGCCGAGACACCUGCUGACAGGUCUCGGCGUGCCAGAGGCCGUGCUCACCUUUCGGAGCACUGCCGGGCACUGUGGCACGCGCACGAGUGACGCGAAACUCAGCAAAAUAGCACGCAUAGCGCUAAGAUUGCAUCUAAAACACGAACCAGGGCACCGUUGACCCCGACGCAGGUGAGAACGACGUUCAGCACAAAACGACGAUGAUCGUGCUCACUUCCACAUUCAUCAGGGUGCCAUCAGAUCGCCAAAAAGGCGACCGAAACUCCAAACUAUAAUGCUGGAAGGAAAAAAUCAUGCUUACCUGGCCAGUGGGAGCUAGGGCUGGCCACUGGCGGCCGAACGGCGGGUGCUCCGGCCGGGGAAGGGUGCGGCCGAUCGGAGGGGUCCGGGAAAGGUGCUGGACGGCGGCGGGAAGCGGCCGGUGGCACGACGACUGAGAUCAACUCUACCACCUACUCUCGGGUUCAAGGGUUCCCGGCGGCAAGGCAGCUGCCGGAGGAGCCUCGGGGCGACGGCGCUCGGUCACGGCGACGGUGCGCGCUCAGAAACUGUACGGGUCCAAACUCGGCCCGCACGCGUUCAGGACGGCGGCAGAGAGCUCGGGCGGUGGCCGGCGGGAUGCAGGGACGGCGGGGAGGAGUGCGCGAGGUCGCCGGAGGUCGCCCGAGGGCGGCGCGGCCGAUGGGGAGCGGCGGCGGCGUGCGGAUGCAGAGAUCACCCAGGCUCGGCCUAGGUGACUGCAGGUGGCCGCAGAGAGCUGGGGUUGCUCCGGCGGCGUGCUUUGACGGUGGGACGGCCGGUGAUGGCGCCGGAGGGGAGUCUCGGCCAAGGGGAGUGCUUCCAGAUGGGUCUUGAAGCUUCCCUGCUUCUUCCCGCCAAGAGGGAGGGGAGGGUGGCCGAUAUGGUGGUUAGGAGGGUUCAGGUGGGUUUUUCGGCUGCAGGAGCUGCUUGCCGGAGGUCGGGGCGCACGCACGAGCAGGGCAGGGCUCAACUGGGCGGCUAGGGUUAGCUGGGAGGAGAUAGGGUAGACUAGGGUUAGGGUUUCCAUGGGUGAAACCCUAAAACCCUAUAUAUAGUAUUUGUCCUUUUUUUCGAAAAUCCCCUCACAGCAUAUAAUUUACAGUCCAGCCCCUGCAAGCUUGUGCAAUUUGCACGUACGCACCUCGACGUUCGAAAUCUCGCAAAAUGACACAUAAAAUGUUAGGGUUUUCGCGUUAUAUUCGUUUUGACGAUUUCGACCCCUCAGCGAACAUUUCGCUAUUCCUGGAGAUCCGUUCGUCUAAUUUCUGAUCGGAGUGCGCCAGCGCGAUCAGUACGACUGGGGCAUCGAAUCUAGCAUUUCGUUUCGUCCGAUUUUGUCACGCCCCGGAUAUCUCGUUCCCCGGGCACGCCGACAAAUCCGCCGUAUACAAAGAAAUUUUCCUUAUAUACGAAGCGUCAAAGUACCUGUAGAAAUACGAUACUACAAACAGUAGCAUAGAGCUGCUCAAAAAAACUAAAUAACUAAGUUUCAUAUACAUAGCUAGAAUCCAAAAUAUAAGGUUACUCGCACUGGCGAGUUAAACAACUAUGUACAUAAACUCCAAAACAACAACUACCUGCAGUAGUGGAAAGCCUCUAGCUCUGACUGUCGGGUAGGGCUCUAGCUCGCAACGCCCUUGCCUCGAUCCUGGUCGGCGGAAGAUGCAGCAGCCGGCACCUGUGGCUCUGCAAAACAGGAGUAACAACUGGGCGUGAGAACUACUGUAAAAACAGGUAGUCCUCAGUGGGUGCCGCCCGAAACAACAUCAGUCUACCCACUAAGUCUACAGAAGGGAGCAAAAAUAGUAGGAAAAGCAGGAAGUACACUCUACCGCUAUCAAUCACUACACUAUCAUGCUCUACACUAACCAACUGUAGGAAAUGUCAAAUCUAACCCAAUCCAAUCGGGACUGUAAGCAUACCCGUCCCCGGGACUGUGAAUACACCCGUCCCUGCCCCGUUGCGACUAUCGGGCUCUAUCCACACUAACUGGUCCGUGGAGAGCAAGUCCAACUGGCAUGAGCGACACCAACGCGAAAGCACAAAGCCUGACUCCGGAGUGGCACUCGUGGGCGCUACCCAACCGAGUAUGCAGCGUAUCUCUGUCGAGCUCAAUCAGGCUCUCAAUAGGCAAAGUCAAGUAACCGACUCAAACUGGUCUAACAACCAACAGGUAACGUGCCCUCGGCACAAUCUGACGCUAAAAAGGCGAUACGGGUCCACCGUCAACUCUGACGGCACCCACCAGUCCGGAACAACCUGACCGAUCCUGUAAAAAUCCACUCGGCGCAUCAGCACGAGCGUAAAUGUAAUCUAAACUACCUGGAGUACACAUCUCGAAGAUACUGCGACAGUACAAUUUAAUAACGGCUCCUAGAGCUAAAUCAGGCAGUUUAAACAAGUGACAGGUCCAAAUCGCAGGUUUUCUCCUAAUUCAAUUUCCAAGUCCAACAUGUAUAACCUACUUAAUUUAUUACCACAUGCUCCAAAUUCAGAUUUGCAAUCUACAAUAUAAUUCAUGAAUUCGAGCUAGAAUAGAGUAUCCAAAGGUCGAAAAUUAUACAUGCCGACGAAUAUGAACUUAGGAGUAAAAACCGAUGUAACCCACCU
RNAcentral lists this long non-coding RNA (58646 nucleotides) under Ananas comosus (pineapple). RNAcentral describes it as "long non-coding RNA (ACOM_LNC019958)". Lineage: Eukaryota; Viridiplantae; Streptophyta; Magnoliopsida; Poales; Bromeliaceae. The record is from RNAcentral.